AUAUAUUCUUGAAGUAGGAGAGCAGCAAAAAUUUUGUGGUAUAAUCAAAACUAGUUGAGUAGAAGGUAAGCAUAAAAUAAUUGUUAAGAUAAUUGUCACUUCCCGUUCCUAAGUAAAUUAUCCAUUUUCUUAGAUAACAAUUGAGUGCACUAUUGUCUCCUCUGAAGUAUCUCCUCAUAUGUAGUAUUGCUCUCCAAAGGUUGCUAUUUGCUGAUUCAUCGAAAUAUGAUGCUCUUCCAAAAGAAAAAUCAAUCUUUAAGAUAAUAUAGGUAGCAAUAUGGAUCGUGCCAUAAUAGGCUCAAUCUAGGAUAGUCUCAGUAGAUUUUUUAAUAUAAUAUAUAUAAAAAAGACAUGCAUAUAUAUAUGUGACUUUCUGCACUAGAUGAUACUAUCGUAUCAAGUUCACUCAUUACAGACUGANNNNNNNNNNNNNNNNNNNNNNNNNNNNNNNNNNNNNNNNNNNNNNNNNNNNNNNNNNNNNNNNNNNNNNNNNNNNNNNNNNNNNNNNNNNNNNNNNNNNNNNNNNNNNNNNNNNNNNNNNNNNNNNNNNNNNNNNNNNNNNNNNNNNNNNNNNNNNNNNNNNNNNNNNNNNNNNNNNNNNNNNNNNNNNNNNNNNNNNNNNNNNNNNNNNNNNNNNNNNNNNNNNNNNNNNNNNNNNNNNNNNNNNNNNNNNNNNNNNNNNNNNNNNNNNNNNNNNNNNNNNNNNNNNNNNNNNNNNNNNNNNNNNNNNNNNNNNNNNNNNNNNNNNNNNNNNNNNNNNNNNNNNNNNNNNNNNNNNNNNNNNNNNNNNNNNNNNNNNNNNNNNNNNNNNNNNNNNNNNNNNNNNNNNNNNNNNNNNNNNNNNNNNNNNNNNNNNNNNNNNNNNNNNNNNNNNNNNNNNNNNNNNNNNNNNNNNNNNNNNNNNNNNNNNNNNNNNNNNNNNNNNNNNNNNNNNNNNNNNNNNNNNNNNNNNNNNNNNNNNNNNNNNNNNNNNNNNNNNNNNNNNNNNNNNNNNNNNNNNNNNNNNNNNNNNNNNNNNNNNNNNNNNNNNNNNNNNNNNNNNNNNNNNNNNNNNNNNNNNNNNNNNNNNNNNNNNNNNNNNNNNNNNNNNNNNNNNNNNNNNNNNNNNNNNNNNNNNNNNNNNNNNNNNNNNNNNNNNNNNNNNNNNNNNNNNNNNNNNNNNNNNNNNNNNNNNNNNNNNNNNNNNNNNNNNNNNNNNNNNNNNNNNNNNNNNNNNNNNNNNNNNNNNNNNNNNNNNNNNNNNNNNNNNNNNNNNNNNNNNNNNNNNNNNNNNNNNNNNNNNNNNNNNNNNNNNNNNNNNNNNNNNNNNNNNNNNNNNNNNNNNNNNNNNNNNNNNNNNNNNNNNNNNNNNNNNNNNNNNNNNNNNNNNNNNNNNNNNNNNNNNNNNNNNNNNNNNNNNNNNNNNNNNNNNNNNNNNNNNNNNNNNNNNNNNNNNNNNNNNNNNNNNNNNNNNNNNNNNNNNNNNNNNNNNNNNNNNNNNNNNNNNNNNNNNNNNNNNNNNNNNNNNNNNNNNNNNNNNNNNNNNNNNNNNNNNNNNNNNNNNNNNNNNNNNNNNNNNNNNNNNNNNNNNNNNNNNNNNNNNNNNNNNNNNNNNNNNNNNNNNNNNNNNNNNNNNNNNNNNNNNNNNNNNNNNNNNNNNNNNNNNNNNNNNNNNNNNNNNNNNNNNNNNNNNNNNNNNNNNNNNNNNNNNNNNNNNNNNNNNNNNNNNNNNNNNNNNNNNNNNNNNNNNNNNNNNNNNNNNNNNNNNNNNNNNNNNNNNNNNNNNNNNNNNNNNNNNNNNNNNNNNNNNNNNNNNNNNNNNNNNNNNNNNNNNNNNNNNNNNNNNNNNNNNNNNNNNNNNNNNNNNNNNNNNNNNNNNNNNNNNNNNNNNNNNNNNNNNNNNNNNNNNNNNNNNNNNNNNNNNNNNNNNNNNNNNNNNNNNNNNNNNNNNNNNNNNNNNNNNNNNNNNNNNNNNNNNNNNNNNNNNNNNNNNNNNNNNNNNNNNNNNNNNNNNNNNNNNNNNNNNNNNNNNNNNNNNNNNNNNNNNNNNNNNNNNNNNNNNNNNNNNNNNNNNNNNNNNNNNNNNNNNNNNNNNNNNNNNNNNNAUUGUUUUUGUAUCUCCACUAUUUCUGAUUCAAAAUUUUCUUUUGAGAGGAGCGCACUUGUGACCGUAGAUGGCUGUAUAUAUUUUUUUUACUAAUUAUGUGAUAGUAAAAAAAAACAAAAAUUGAUGCCCAUCAUUCAAAAUAAAUAAAAUAUAAGUGAUUAAGUCUAAUAUUUUUUAUCAUUUGUAAUGAUGUCAUGUGUUAAUCUAAUUUUUGUGCUGACCUUUAAAAAAAAUGUGACGAUAGUUAUUGGAGAAUUAAAUCUUAACCGUACAUUAAUAUAAAUACACGCAUGACAUGAGAUUAAUUAUUAAAACAUAAACACAACAAAUUCAGUAUCGAAUCAAAAUUUAAAUGUAAAACUUGCAUCAAAUUAUCAAACGAGGUCCAAUUUUUAGAAUUCAUGGGCAUUCACAGGCUACUUAUAGAACUCCAUAACCCAUAAAUUACAAGUAAAACAUUCAAAUCUGAUGCCACUAAAUCCAGCUCCAGUAGCCAAGGUAAUGAAUUCAUGCUUUGUUCGCUCCUUUCCUCCCGGAUUUUGAGUCAUCAUCAGCACAUCAAUUUGGGAAUUGUUUUUUGAUAGAGUGCUAGUAUCAGGCAGAUCUGGAAGUAUUGACUCCACACCAAUUACCUUUCCAUCUUCUGGAAUACUUUUGUAGCAAUUCUUCAACAACUUCAAGCAAUGUUCAUCGCUGCAAUCGUGCAAUAUCCACUACAAAAUGUGAAAUAUUAUGAAAUUUGUUUAAUAUCUGCAAAGUAAAUUCAAAUUAAACUUACCUUCAUCAAGAUGGCAUCACCUUUUGGAACACUUUGAAACAUAUCACCCCUGCAUGCUCAACGCCUGUACUACACACAAUUUAAUUUCCUCUGUUAGAAUCUGGCGUUACGGUGGACAGAGUAUUCUUAUGAGCAUUGAUAUUCCGGCAAAAAGUUUAGACACAAAAACAACAGUAAAUCGGGCCUGAUUUUCUCAAUAAAUUUCAAAUACAUAAAUCGAAUUCAGUUUAAAGUCUUUUUGUCGAAAACAUUUCAGCAUUUUCUCUGAUUACCAUGUUCUAAUUAAUAAUUAAUAUAUAUUUCCUCAUAACAAUGACAUUAAAAGAAAAAACGAAGACAGGAUUUUGGGGAAAACCCAAAUAAAUUUUCUAGCCUUCAACCUUCUCAAGGAUUUACAAUUAGUUAGCCAGAUUAAGAAAUUUUUUUAAGAGCUACUAAGCCAUGUCUCUCACAUUAUUGUAAAAAUAAGUGAUAAUUCAUACCAGGAUACCCUGGGGCAUGCUGUAUAACAUGAGGCAAGUCGAAAUUGAUGCCCUUAACGUGAGAAUACUUGGUAGUGAUAGCUUUAAGUGUAUUGCCAAGGCUACCACCGACAUCGACCAGUUGCUUUAUGUGCUUGAAACCAUUGUAAGCCUCAAGAAUUUUCUGGAUGACCAAAGUAGAAAGGUUGUACAUCGCUGUAUUGAAAACUUCAUUGAACCUGGUGUCCAGUCUCGGGUGCUCAAAAGCGUUUGUUCCAUGGACACGAUCAAAUGGAACUCCUCCUUCAAUAAUAGCUUCUUUUAAUUGGGACCUGCACUAUCAAUUAAUCAAUCAGUCCAGAAUUAGAUUCGUAUCCAAAUCCUCUAUUCAUCAGAUCAACAUUUUACAUUUGGCUUACUCUUUUUAGAUUCAUUGAUUCGUGGUUGAUAAAACAUAUAGAUACAUAUAAAUUAUAACUAUGACGAUGUAUACGUAUCCUAAAAUUAUUAAAAGAUACGAUAAGUAUGAGGAUGUAUAUGUAUUGUAAAAUCAUUAAAUGAUAUAGAUACAUAUAAAUUAUAACUAUGACGAUGUAUACGUAUCGUAAACUCAUUAAAAGAUAAGAUAAGUACAAGAUUCAUUUCCUCCCAAAAUCACAAAGAAAGAUAAUGCAUAGUUGUCACCUACGUCUUUAUAAGAGGGUAAAAAAAAAGGAAAUAGGGUCAUGACAUCUUCCGGCUCGGAUACUGAAUUUUUAACAAAAUCACAAAUUAGUUCAUAUUUAGUUUGUAUUGACAUUUCAUGUAGUUAGGUCCUGCUUGUUGUGCGCAGAAUGCAAAAUCAAGCACACCAAAUAAUCACAGAAAAAUAAAUGACACAAAAUUUAACAUGGUUUGACAAUUAUGUUUAUGUCCACCGGAACAAGAGAAAAUAAUUGUAUUACUAACAAUUAUAAUAGUACAAUAUUUAAGUAGAAACCUUACUUCUCAAAAUCUAAAUACACCUAGUAUUCUCACAUACACUUGAAAAGAAAAAACCUCUCAAUUGUUCACUCUCUCAACAAUUCUUCACUUAAAUUAUUGCUCUCAAUUUUAUGAGAUUCUCUCAAAUUUUAAGAUGCUUUAGCUCUAUAAAUGAAGCUCAACUAUAAGUUUAGCUUCACUGUAAAAAGUCUCAAAAGUAGUUGGCAAAAAGUCCUGCAAUUUGGCGCCGAAUUGAAAAACCAAAAAAAUGCAUGCGGUUUGCCAAUUUUUGUCAAGAAAAUCACGCGGUUCAAUAUAUUCAAAAUCCAACAUGCGAGCCCCCUUCUUUACUUUGACUUUUCAACACUGCUGUCUUUAAAAACCCCACGGGAAAAAAAAUCUUUUAAUUGAGCAAAAUUCUACGGAUAAAGUUAAGAAUUUUUUCCUUUAUGAAUUUCUGUCAAAACUAAAGAACAGAAUUCAAUAAAUGCUCUCAAUAGAACUAAAUUCAUUGUCUUUUUCAUACUACUCUCAUUUUCUCUGCAAGUAAAAGACAAAAAUUUCCCCGACGGAGAACACUUUUCUUCUUAUUCUCUGCAAAUAAAACACAAUCAACAAUAUUUCAUCUAUUCUUGAAUUGAUUUGAUUAAAAGUAUAUAUAUAGUAAUGAUUUAUAAGUUUGUUAAGUGUACAUUCUACAUUUUAGUGCUUACUAUUAUAAAUAUACACUUAUGCAUCAAAUAUAGGGAUUUAGUUCAUUUUUUGUUUGUUUGUUUGUACGACGACUGAAAAUGAAUUUAGAAACAAGUUGAGCAUGAGUUGGAGUAUGAUCGGAGAUAUGCAUGAUUGGAUCUGAAUGUUUAGAAAGAUAGAUGCAUUAUUAACCCAUGUGAUGUUAUUAUUCUAAAUAAAAAUAAACUACAGAGAAUUAAAAUGAGAGAGAGCAGGUAUACCAGCUGUCCAGAAACACCUUGUCCUGAAUUAAGGCCAUUAAGGGGCCCAAUGAGACACCAUCUUCGUUAGGCACAAAGUAUCUGGAAACAUUACUCUGACCGUAGAGUCUCUGAGAACCAUCUAUAUCAUCUAGUGAGCAUUCAACAACACCAUGGCUAUCCAGAAGCCUGAGUAUCCGGUCCAACAUCAUGGGUGCGUCUUUGUUCUUGGUGGCAGGCAACUGAGCUGCAAUCUCUGAAGCUGAGAGCUUUGCUCCAGGACCAGCUUUGGCUAUGAUCUUGAAAACUCCCAGCUCAAUUGCUGCUUGCAUGGUCAUGGGGAGCACUGAACCCGUCACCAAUUGAUUGGCAUAUGCAAAGCUUGCGUCUCUCCUUCAUUAGCCAUAUUUUGUUGAAUUUCCUUAUCUGUUUUGCUAAGAAACAAUGCGAUUAUAGUGGUGUGAAGAUUGAUUGGCCUGUCCAAAAGGAUAUAGCUUAUUAUAUAUUGGUAUAUAUGAGCUAGUUUCCGUUUUCUUUCCUCUAGCUAUUUUGAAAAUAUUGAAGUGAAAGUUGUUGAAUGUACAGGAUCAUUUGAGGGAGCCUGUACCUCCACAAAUAAUGUCAGUGUUUUCAAAUUUAGAGACUGUAACCUGUUGUUUAUUUCUAAAAUUUAAAUAAAGAAAUAACUAACAAACUAGCUUGGACUCUAACUACUCCAACAGCUAACCUGACUUAUUCAAAUAAUGAAAGAAACAAAUAAAAUCAAUUAACUGGAACAAAAUCUAGAACAUGUAACAUAAUGGUUCUCUUAUUUUAAUAUGAUAAAAGGACAAACUAAAAGAUAGAAAAUUAUAAAUUUUGAUAAAAUAUAAAAUAAAAAUGUUUUCUUUUUUAUUUAGCUUAUCUCUAACUUUAUUAAAAUAUGAGAUCAUUUAUUAAAAAUAAAUAAAAAAGGAUGAAAGAAGUCAUAUUAUGUAUAAAGUAAAUUAACAAUAAAGUAAUUCCUUACUUUAUUAAAAUAAGGUAUAAUUUAAAAGAUAAAAAAUACAGAUUUCAAUGUACUACAUGUAACAUUUCACAUUAUUAGCGAGAGUUUUGAGACUAGUUUAUAAGUUAUGGGUUCUUAACUAAGCAAACAUGACGGGAUAUGUACCCAACAUGGAUAGUAUCUUCUUGGUUAAUGGGCCUAGGGUAUUAAAGUUAGUAUCAUAAACAACUCACUACCUGAUGUAUGGAUGGAUAUGUUAUUGGUAUGAUUGUAUCUCAUUCUGUUAUGAGGAUCAAGGGGAGAAACAUUUAACAUCUUAUUGGUGUGAUUUCAUUCUGUCCCAUUAUGAGGGUCAAUGGGGGAAGCAUGUAACAUUUCACAUUGCCAGUAAGAGAGUUCUUGGGCUAGUUUAUAUGCUAUGAGUUCUUCUAACUAAGAAGAUGUAUUUUGGGUUACAAGCCCAAUCAUAAAACAAUAGUGGGUUGUAUAUCCAAAGCGGAUAAUAUCUAUUUGUUUAGUAGGUUGUGUAUCUAUUAUGAUAAAAUUUUAAUGAUUCCUAAUUAUUUUAAUAUUAUCUAUUCACACCCCACUAAAACUCGAAUUAAACAUGAGCCCUAAGUAGACUGCUCUUUACCACAUGAGUUGAACCUUAAUUUAUAUGUAACAUCCCAUAUUGCUAGGGAGAUAGUUGUCGGACUAAUUUAUAAGUGACAAGCUCUCGUAACUAAGCAAAUGUGUUUUGGACUGUAAAGUCUAAUAACAAAGUCGUGACGGAUUGUGUGCCCAAAGCGAACAAUAUAUAUUUGGUUAAUGGGUCUAGGCUAUUAUAAUUAGUAUAAGAGCUUACUCAUGAGCCGAUGUGUCGAUUGAUAUGUUAAUGAUACGAUUUCAUUCUAUUCUGUUUCCAAUGAUCCUCACGAGAACGCAAGGUCCUUAAGGGGAAAGGAUGCAUUGCUAACAAGGAGUUCUUGGAGCAGUUUAUAAGCCAAGCACUCUCCUAACUAAGCAAACGCGCUUCGGGUUAUAAAGUUCAAUAACAAAAAAAGUGACAAUUGUGUGCUAAAGCUAAUAAUAUCUACUUAUUGGGUAUAAACUCUUAUAUUAUAAGAUAAAAUAUACUAUAUUAAAAUAUGUAUUUUUCUUCUUUUAACUUAUUUCUUAUUUUAAUGAAAUUAUUUAUUAAACAAUUACAACAUAAAAACCUAUUUAUAUAUAUAAAUAGAAAUUUUUGGAGGGAAACUUAAAAUUUUAUUUUCAUAUUGAAAUAUCUAUCUUACUAUAUUUAUAAAAGAUAUAUCUAACGGCAUCCAAGUAUAUACUUGAGAUAAAAUUAAUGGCUGAUGCAUGGAAUGAGACUCAAUUGCGAAAAAAGAUCUUCUCCUGACUUGAUCUUUUCUGAACUUUUCAAGAUUUUUAGUCAUGCGUCUUUUAAUGGUAGUGUAUGGGUAAGAUUCAACUUUUUUUAUUUUUUUAUUUAUUAACUACCAAUCAGUAAUUAUGAAAACAAAUCCUCUUCUUUUAUUUACUCAGUAUAUGAUCAAAUCGGUGAUCCCUCAAUUGCAGCCUCUACGCUUACACAAUCACGUUUGCCAAAAAGAAAAGUUGAGACAGUGACUCUUAUCAAAAAUAAAAUUAAAAAAAUUGAGACAACGAUUUUUUCAUCAUUUUUAAUUUGAUGCAUUAAUUGCAGUGGGCAAAAGUAAUAGGAGAACCAUGUGUUGUGUCAGUAUUCUUUCGUUUUUUAGAAGUAAAAAUUUAAGUAGUAAUUAAUAAUUAAUAAAUAAAUAAUAAUUAAUUAAAAUUUACCUAUUUACUAUAAUUAAAAUAAGGGUCUUGUUGAGUGACGAUCAAUGUAAUUUACGGCUCUUGUAAUAUAGUCCCAUUACCUUAUUAUAAAUUUUUGCAUAUUUUACAUAGAUUAUAAGUUAAUCUUUAAAAUAAACAUAAUACAAAAUCUUUAAACAUUAAAAAAAUUUAAAUUAAAAAAAAUUCUCAUCAGCUAGGACCAUGAGAACAGGCCAACCCAUUGUGAUUCUUACUUCUCCCUUUAGCUAUUGACAAGUCACAGGACAUAAGAGAGGGUUAGUAAUGGAAGCGUGGAUGACAUUGUUGUAAAUAAACAUAAUUCACGAAGGAUAAAAAGGAUGAUGUUAAUAUUUCUUAUGAGAAUAAAUCUCAAUUUGGAUGAUACAAUUAUACAAGGUGAGAAUUUACUUAUUUAUAGCAAAAAAAAUGUUGCUACGGUUAAAAUUUUGACAAAAUGCAUAAAAAUAAUUAAAAUAUUUUGAUAAUAAAAGACUAAAAUAUCUUCGUUAGUAAUGUCAUGCUAGAUGGAUAGUAAUGUCAUGCUAGAUGGAUAAUACAACUUAGCUACCUAACUUAGGUUGGCUAUAUCGCAUUUGGCGUCGGCUUGUAAAUUAGCACUUGACGGUUUAGCCUCCAGUCAAUCCAAACGGUGCUUAAUUAGGUAAGGCGUAUUUCACAAAGACAUGCCAUCCAUCUGUCACGUCAGGUGAUGCGCAUGUAACCAAAACAACCGUUAUCAAAGUAGGCACAUGCGAAGGCUUAUUUUUCCAAGGGUAACAAGCUAAUUAGCUAAGACUAUCAUUAAAAGCCUCUUUAAAUGAGAUUUUAUUAUUUAUUUAAAGAGUCAUAUAAAAAAAAGUUUUAAAAAACUCUCUAAAUGAGAUAUUUCAAAUAAAAUAGUGUUUCUCUCUAUUUAAUAUUAAAAAUAGAGAAAUACUAUUUCAUUUGAAGAAAUUUAUUUAGAGAAUUUUUUAGUGCCUUUAUUUAAUACUAUAUUUUUUUCUCAAAAUUCUUGAAGAAAGAGAAGUAUUAUAAUGACUAUUAUUUUUUUAGAGAAAAAUUUUGAUUAAAAUAAUAUUUUUAUUUUUAUUUAAAAAAUCUUUUGAAAAGUAACUUCAUUUUUUACUCUUCUAUUUAUUAUAUAGAUAAAUAAAUAAGUAUUUAAAAAAUUAAAUUAAAAGAGUUAAACAUAUUUUUCAUUCUUGUUUUGACAAAUUUAAUCUGUUGAUUCAUCUUCUAUCCUAACGGGUAUUAACAAAUGUAAUAAUAAUAAUAUUUUUAAGGAGAUCUUAACCAUAUUAAAGUCAAUCAUUAACCAUAAUAAAGUUAAGAAUAAAUUAAAAUACAAAAAAAAAACACAUUUUUAUAUGAUAUAAUACACUGCAUUAAAAUUUAUAUUUUUUUAUCUUUUAAAUUAUUCCUAACUUUAAUAUGUAAAAAUUCUUGAUUGGAACGUAUAUUUCCAAAUUAAAUUUGAGUGAAGUAUGUUUAUAAAAUUUUAGAAUUACAAAUGGCAUGUUAGCAAAUUAGUAACUACUAAUGCUCGAUGAUAAUUAACAUUUUUAUGCUAAUGAAGUAAUGAUAAACUGAGUCAAUAAGGGAGCAGAUCAUUAGUCCUCUGAAAAUACCGUUAUUUUUACAUUUGUUAAUAUAUGUUAGAUAGAAAAUGAAUCAAAAGAUUCGAUUUCUCAAAAUAAUUUAAGUUUUUUCUCACCGUGCGUGGUUCGAGCUUAAUCACUAUUUCUCUCUCUCUCUCUCUCUCUCGUCAUUCUUAUCUCUCUCUCAUCUUUUUCAAGCGUUAACUUCAGCCAAGAUGGAUUACAUAACAAAACAAACAAAUCAAAAAAAAAAAGAAAAAAGAAAAAUCAAAACAAGAAUGAAGAAAAAUAAAUAGCACCAAUUUAAUUAUGGCAUGUGCAUAAUUAAUCGAGUCUGAAAUAAAACUUACAACAGACAUCAAUUUAACCUCAUAUAAAAAAUAAUAAUUUUUUUAGAAUAACUUAUUUAUUUAUUUUGAGACACAGUAAAGUUGCAACGGGUGGAAUUCCAGUAUUAAUAAGCCUUACAUUCAUGGUGAUCAUCAACAGAAAAGAGAUGAGAGAGAGAAAGAGAGAGAGUAUGUCAGAGUACAUGAAAGUUAAAGAAAAUGUAGAAGGGAGAGUGAUUGGAUGGGGUCCACAUGUGGAGAGAGAAAACUUAAAUUAUCUUUAAUCCAAUAAAUAUUAAUAAAUAUAAAAAGGGUAUUUUUAGAGGGCUGUUCAUAUGCCUGCAUAUAUGGUGUGUGUAUGUGUGCACAAACAGUCUCUUUUUAGUACAAGGAUUAUUAUUUUUUUAUACGAACAAGUUUUUAAAUAAUGUAAUUUAAUAUAAUUAGAUUUGAAUAUUAUAAAUAAUAUAAUUUUAUAAUAUAUUAAAAAAAUUAUAUUAAAUUACAAGACUUAAGAUCGUGUCUGUAUUAAACAAAUGAGUAUGCCACUCCUCGAAUAUAUUCUAGGACUAGAAAAUAGAACCGCGCUUCACGCAACUUUGAAAAAAGAAUUUACUAUUAUCUUUUUUUCUUACUUUAUACUUGAUGAAACUGAUAAAAAAUAUGAAUUGGUUUUUUUUUAAGAUGAGGCAGCCUUAUAAAAAACAGAAAAAGCUAUUAGCCAGCAAUACAAAUAAAGAAGCAACACAAGAUAAAGAAUAAAAUGAGAGAAUAUAUUAUAGAGUAAUUUUAUUCAUUCCAAUUAUGUGUGUACAAAACAAAAAGAUGAGCUCUCCUUUUAUAGUUACAUAAUCACUCCAUGAAAUUAAUGAAAAAUUAUGAAUCAUAAUUUCUUGUGAGAUAGUGGGAGUUAUAGGGAAGCUAAAUGUUGUUAAUGGGAGAUAGUGGGGAGACUAUGAGAUAUAUGUUAUGAACAUCUACAUUUAUUUUAAUAAAUUCAUAGCACUCCUCCUUGGAUGUUCAAUACAAAGAAUAUGCCUCAUUAAAAUCUUUACAUAAUUGUUAUUGUGUAAUAACAAUCAAAUUAAUUAUGAGAAGAUGAAAAGUCAAAUCUAAAAGAAAAUUUCUCUAUUUAUUAGAUAAUAGAGAAUGUACAAAGAUGAGAAAUUGUGAUGGUUGUCGAAGCUAGCAAAAAUAAAUACCUACUCUAAAUAAAUUGUGUAUAGUGAUUGAGUAGGGUCGUGUCCACAGAGAUCGGUAAUUAUUUAAAUCCUUUAAAAUAUAAAAUGCAAAAUGGGGGAAUUAUUGACAAUAAUAAAAAUUAAAUUAAAAUAACAAGAACGCAAAUUAAAAUUGUAAUUCAAAUUGGAGAAAAUUCUGGUUGAAGGUAUUAACUCAGCUUGAUUCGACUACUGAUAAUUGAUUCAAAUAUAAAUUAUUAUUACUUAUGAAUAGACCGGUUAUAGCUACUGAGACCCUCUAAUAGCCAAUCUCUCCUUAACUAGUCGAUAACCAAGGUACGACCGUUGGUUAUUUCCCUAAUCAAUAGACAACCCUAGAUACGAUCAUAUUUUUUUUGGAAUUUGUCCCUACCAUCUAAGAUUAAACUCUUUUAUUGGAGAGCCUUUUCCAAUAUCCUCUCCACUUAUUUAAAUUUGCACCAAAGGAAAAUACUAGUUGCUCCUUCAUGCCCUCGUUGUGGCUUUGCUUACGAGGAUCAAUAUCACGCGUUGGUGGGGUGUCAACUAGCAAAGAAGGUAUGGAAGCGCACGAGAUUUUAUUCAUGCCUAAAGAUAUUAGUGUCCAUGGAGUUUUCUAAUUUGUCCAUUCACUUAUCAUCUACAUUCACAAAAGAUGAGUUCGAAGAAUGGGUGGUCUUGUGUUGGUCAAUAUGGCUAGCUAGGAAUCAUUUGAUUUUUUGUCAUACUAUCAGUGAGCCUCACGCAAUUGUCGCCCGAGCUGCGAAUGCAGUGAAUUCAUAUCGAGAUAAUGUUCUGCAAUGCGGCACCAACAAGAGUAUUAACCCUAAAACUCCCAGCCCGGGUUGGCAAAGUCCUCCCCUACCAUGGUACAAGAUGAACAUUAAUGCAGCUGUUAGCUCUAAGGAAGCUCGUGCUGGCAUAGGAAUGUUAAUCCGCAACUCGCAAGGUGAGGUUAUGGCAGCAUCUAAUUGCAGGGAGAUUUCUACCGACAAUAUAGAUUUUCUAGAAGCUCUUGCAAUACAAAAAGGAAUCCAAUUGGUGAAGGAUAUUGGGUUGGUUCUAGCUAUCAUUGAAUCAAAUUCUCUCAAUGUUGUUAAUCUCAUUAACAACAAAAUCCACAACAGAUGUGAAGUGGGAUGGCUAAUCUCCAACAUUCAAGAGGCCUUAUCUUCUUCCAAGAGCACUUUCCAAGUGAAUCAUACUCCAAGGUCUUGCAAUGAAGCUGCACAUCAUCUAGCUAAAUUAGUUAUAUGUAAUUCCAAAGAGAGAGUGUGGUUAGAGGAAGCUCCAACUGAGAUCUCAGCUUAUAUAUGUACAGACAAAUCCAUGUAAACGCUUUCUAUUAAUAAAUUUUACUUAAAAAAAAUCAAUUAUUAUUUUGACAAGUAGCUCGGACUACUAUGCAGUCCCACGGAGAGGAUAGUGUAAUAUAGACUAGAGACUUUGUGUUUAAAGACUUGUGUUUUAUUUGAAUAUUGUUUGUGUGGUGAGUGUUUACGUCUAGGUGCCUUGGUAGCAUUUGGUCGUAAGUCCCGAUUUGGUUGAAGGGCAGUAAAACCAAUUCUUAACCUUGGAUUGUAGCCAUACCAACAAGACUAAAAUUAGGAUAUAGGUUUUUAACCAUAGAUUCUCUGCUCUGUAGAGCAUCGUCCUUUUCUAGCUCUUCUUUUGAAAGAACUAGUGAUUCAAAGAAUGUUGUGAAUUUGGAAGAAUUUGUAAUUGAAGACUUUAAUAAAGCUAUUGAUAACUGGGAAUUACCAAAAGUUAAUAAAGAAAUGAUUUACAAAAUAAAAAAGCUUGAUUUUCUAAAGAAUGAUUAUGUUAUAAAAACCGAAGAACGUGAUAUAACCCUUUCAAAGCCUUUUGAAACAAUUCAUUUGUUUUCAGAACAAUCUUUAAAGAAAUUAAAAGACAAAAAUUUUAAUUAUGUUCACAUCGACUUAAUACAAGUUGGUAUAAAACCCUUAACAAAAGAAGGCUUAAAUACCUCCAUACUUGCAGUCCUAAGAGAUGGGAGAUUCAUCUCUUUUGAUGAUUCUUUACUAAGUAGUAUAGAAUCAAGUCUUUGUAAAGGUCCCAUUUCAUUUAAUUGUUAUCCGAACAUAACAAUUUCUUUCAAAGACAAAAACAUUCUAAAAAGCAUGAUUUUACAAAUCAAGACCCACAAUUAUGAUAUGAUUGAGGGAUCUAUUCCUGUAGCCUUAAUUUAUAAAAUUUCUUACAAAGCCAAGAUUUCUGCGUUUAGUACGCAACAUAAAUUUCAGUCAAAAAGAGAUGAGACUCUUCUCUUGCAGACUGACCUGUCUAAAGCCAACACCAUUAUUCCAAAACCAAUCCAAUGGAAAGAUGUCAAUCUUCCAGACGAAUAGAUACUUGAAGGAGCCACUGCUCUAGUAAUUCCAAAACAACUUGAGCCAAAUACAGAGUUGCAAAAUGUGACUCAGUAUUCAGAUGACAAAGUCAAAUUAUCCUUUCGGAGAUCUAUGUCAUCAAGAUUCUCCGAUAAAGAUUCAUGUUCAAGCAUUCCUUCACUAGAAAGAAAAUUUUCAAAAAUUCCCCCCGUCAUAAAUCUUCCUUAUCAAUCGGUAAAAAGUCAACCUAGGUUUUCUACAUCAGACAUACCUAGCUCCUCUAUUCACUCUGUUGACUAUACCACUAGUGUACCUCACCCAAUCUACACUAGUAGUCAACAUGAACAAAGACAGGAAGAGAAGGAACCUUCUCCUCCAACUUCUCCUACUUUUUUGGCUGUCACAGAAAAUGUUAUAAAUGUCAUAGAAAAAGAUUUUGAAUUAGAUAAAACUCUUCUUCACAAUGAUUUUUUUUCUGAUUCUAAUAAAGCGAAAAGACUUUGGUUUUUCAAACAUUUUUUAAACCAAAGAAAAGAAAUCCAACAAAUCUAUUAUGAGUUUGUAAAUUUGCAUAAAGUUCAUAUAUUGUUUUUUGAUUAGUUUGAGAUGUAUGCUUCUGAUAACAACAUUUCUUAUCCCUUUAAAGAAUCAAACCUCAUUACUAUUCGAAAGAAAAACGCAGAAUGAAGCCUUACUAGUAGUGGUAGAAUCAUAGAAUCUGAACAUCCACCUCUUAGGAGCUUAACCAUCGAACAUGGUGAGCCUCCUAUAGAGAUUAAAGCCUCACCCUAUAAAAUCCAUAAAGAUCUAGAGACAGAUUUAGAUAGCAUUAUCCAACAGAACAAUUUCUGCAAUGCUAAUCUAAAUACAAUAGGAAAACAGUUGACUAGAAUAGAAAAUCAAUUCCAAAAGUCAACCAUAACUGUUUCUCCUGUUAUUUCAAAAUCGGAUUCUGAAAAAAAGCUUAAAGAGCCUAUUUUCAAACCUUUUCAGGUUUCGAAAACUAGUCAAAAGCUUGUCCAAGAGUCAAAAUCAGAUUUUGCUAACGCCAUCAGAGACCAAUUAGACAGAAUAUAAGCUUCUUCUUCUUCUUCUAAGGUCCAGAUAGCCCCAGAUAGUGCUCAAUCUAGUAAGAUUGGUGUACUAGAAUAUGACAAUGUUUCUAUAGCCUCUUCAGAUAUAGAAGCAUUUAAAGAAGAACCGUCUGUUCCUAAAGCCAACAAAAUCCAUUGGGAAUUAGCCCUACCUACUGUCAAGUCUCCACCUGAUUUGGCCAUAGACAACAGGCCUAGUGCAUUAAACCAAUCACGAUUUAAUGCAUCCUCCGUCUAUGAGUGGAACAUUGAUGGUAUGUCAGAGUACAACAUCUUAGGAUUGUUGCAACAAAUGACCAUGGCAGCCAAUGCCUAUAAAACCCAGUCGGGAACUUCUGACAAAGCCAUUGCAGAAAUUCUCAUAGCUGGUUUUACUGGUCAACUUAAAGGUUGGUGGGAUCAUCUUCUCACCAAACAGCAACAAUUAGACAUCCUAGAUUCUAUUCAAACUGAUGAGAAUGGAGCCCCCAUUCUCGACGAGUUCAAUAGUCCGAUACAGGAUGCUGUUGCCACCCUGAUUCUAACCAUGUCUCUCCAUUUCAUAGGUGACCCUUCACACCUUAGAGAUAAGAAUGCUGAGUUACCACACAACUUGAGGUGUAGAAAGCUUAGUGAAUUCCAAAGCUACAAAACCACAUUCUUUACCAAACUCUUCCUUAGGGAUGAUGCAAAUCAUGUAACUUGGAAGAAAAAAUUCCUUGCAGGUUUACCUACCCUACUGGGAGAAAAGGUUAGGAAUUCCAUUAAAGCCCUUUUUGAUAACCGUAUUCCUUAUGAUGAGCUCACCUACGGUGAACUUGUCAGUUUUGUUAAUAAGGAAGGUUUAAAGAUUUGUCAGGAUUAGAAACUUCAGAAACGGCUAAAAUGAGAGCUUAGAAAAUCUAAGCAAGAAUUAGGCAGUUUCUGUAAGCAAUUCAAUUAUGACCCCUUUAAAACUUCUGCCUCUAAAGAUUGUAAUGGUAAGUGUUCUACAAAACCUUACAAAAAACAUUGCAAAUCAAAAACCCAUAGAAAACCUUUCCAAGACUUUAGAGAACUUUCUUAUAAGAAACCUUCGAGGCCUUAUAAGAAGCCCAGUUUCUCUAAGAAAAAAGACUUCAAACCCAAACAAAAAACCCCUUUCAACUACAAAGAAGCCGCGUGUUAUAAAUGUGGAAAGAAAGGCCACAUUGUAAAAUUCUGUCGAAUGAGCAGAAGGCUCCAUGAGCUUGAUCUUGAUGAAGAAAUAUUUUCUAAAAUUGCCCCUUUACUUAUAGAGUCUUCUGACUCUGAGUCUUCCAUGACGGGAGAUAGUGAGCCUCUACAAGUAGAUGAGUUAAUUGACUCAGAUACUUCUGUAUCCAGUGAUAGUAAUUCUGACACAGAAUCCUAUUUAAAGAAGAUUAAUGUGUGUGUGUAUAUAUAUAUACAAUGAAAAAUGUGAUCCACAAGCUGAAAAUCAUGAGGCAUAAUGAAUCCAACUAAUUAACAUUGAUUAUGAUUAGCUCAAAGCAUGCAUUGAAUCAACAACUGAUUAUAAAAACUAUAAAUGAUCAUUUGAAGUGAUAAAACAAUAAAUUGAUAUCCAUUAGAGGUUAGCCACUUCUUGUUUAUUGAUCUUUAGUGGGAAAAGUAUCAACGAUGUCUUUGGGCUUUGCAAUAUGAGGUCCUCAAGAGGAGAACUAUGUAACAUUUUACAUCAUCAAUGGGAGAGUUUUAGACUUUAUGAGCUCUAAGCUCUCCUAACUAUACAUGCAUGUUUUUGUUGGAUUUUUAAUAAAGUAUUGUUGGAUCCUUAAUUUAAUAUAGGGCUUAUAUGUGAAUAAUUAUGUAUUGCAAACUGCCAUAUAAGGGUAAGUCCAAUUAAAAGUGAUCUAUUAAGGUUUUCAGCAAUAUGAGCUUUAAUGUAUAUGAUAGGGUGUGGAUCUUGAAUGUGUAGAGACUUAAAGGUAAUUUUUAUUUCUAUGAUGGGCUGAAAUAAGAAUACUUAAAAACAAUAGAAAAUUUUAGUCUAUAUAAGUAGUCAUGGUCUCCAGCUCACACGUAUCAUUCUAUUUUUUCUGACAUCAAAUCAUCAGAGAGAGUACAAAGAAAAGUAAAAGAUUCUCUAGGAGAACGUGUUGAUCUAGAAGGCCAACCAUAUGACUCAAGAGCAAUUAAGCAUUUUGGAUUCAAGUACGCUUUCACAUAAUUUGUUAUUGAUUUUUAGUGAUACAACAUGAAUGUUCCCGGAUUAUAAAUGAUGAUUUUCACCAAAGGAUUUCUUGUUUUAAUAAGUGCUAUCAGAGCCUCUUCAUGUUGAAGUCUUCGAGCAUCAAAUUUAUUUUGGAUUAAUAAAUAAAGUUUUGAUUUUCUCAAAUUUUGUAUCAUUGAAUUUGAUAAAAAUUGUGGCUGUUUUUUUGUAUUUUUUAAAGGAUUAAUUAAAAAAAUCUGGGUUAUUAAGGAACCAUUACCGCCGACGUUAAGGCUUUCGAGCCAACAAGAGAGCCACGACCACCAUGCAAAAGAAUAAAAAGAAAAAGGAAGAUAAGGUUUAAAGUUUUGGGGCUAUGGCUUCAGGCCAUACGAGGCAUGGCCCAAACAUCAAGCAAGCCAAGAAAGCGGUUGCUACAUCAAGAACAUAAUAUAUAUAUAUAUAUUUGGCGCGACUGUUGGUUGCACUUGCAAUCAAGACGCGGCGACCUGGCUACAACAGAUUUCUUAAAAGCGGCUACCACAGUCGUGGCCUUAGGACAGAAGAAAAGAAAGGCAAAAAAAAAAAGGGGGUUAAGGUUAGGGUUAGGGUUGGACUGGGAUCCAACCCUAGUCCGAAUGAAGAGUGGGGCUAAUAGUCAAUGGUCAAUAGUUGAUUGUUGACCGUUGACCGUUAAUUGAACUUUGAUCUAGUUUUUUUAGGCUAAAUUUUGGUGCAAUUUUAAAUUCAAAUAUUAAUAUGUUAAUAUAUAUAUAUAUAUAUAUAUUAAAGCGUCUUGUAUGAAUAAAGUUUGUCGACCAACAUUUUCAAGUUAGGACAAGUAAUAUGUUAGUAGUUACAUUAUAUUUACCUUGUGUUAUAACUAAUCUAAUUAUGCAGAAAAUGAGUCGUGUCAAUAAGAACAUGAGAGCUUUGAACAAGUAUAAUCACCGCCUUAGUCGAAAAGGAUACAUUGGAUUAAUGAAAGAAAUUGUAAUUGUGUUAAAUAUUUAAAUUGUUGAUGAAAUAAUUUAUAUAUCAGUUAAGUGUGUAAAUUUUUUGCUUUGUUAAAUAUUUAUUAAAGGUUUAGUUAACUACUAAAUUUUUUAACCGUUAACUAGUCUAAUUUCUUUGUCGAAGUAAUGUGCAGAAUCAGGUCUUUUGGAAAAGUUAAUUAACAGGAGUGAACUAUGGAAGAGAGCUCAGAUGCUAAAGAAUGGAGGAUACGACUUUGAAACCAAACAAAUCAUUAAGAAAAUGGUGAUCAAGUUUAACUAGAACAAACAUUCUUAUGAUAUUAGAUCUAUGCUCAUUUAAUAAUAUUAGUUUCUUUAUGGUGGGCUAUUAGGAAAUGCUAGAGAAGGGAGGACAAAAAAGACUCAUUCAAUUCUGAUGCAAGAAAUGACUUACUUGCACAAGCAUUGGGAAAGCUUCCUUGAACUUGUCAUAUGCAAGGCUUGGGCAAAUUUAUUUAUGCUUCUAUGUACUUUCACUGCCUGCGUGGACCCAUCCGAAAUGAGCGAGAGGGGGAGCUGGAUGCUUGGAAAAAAUCAGUAGAUGAACAGUUGCGAGAAAUUUACAAGAAUUGAAGAGGACACCUCGCCAUUCAGAUGUUUGAAGUUCCACUUUCCCACAUAAUAUGGUCGAUGAUGACAGUGAAGGAGAUGUACAUAAGGUACUUUAGUUAUCUAUGUUACCCAAAUAUUUCCUGGUUUAAGUAUUUUUCCUUGUAUAUCUUCCACUCAUUAGAGUUUAAUUUAUUUACUAUUUGUCGAUAAUGCUAACAGGAACUGGAUAAUUUAGGGAAGUCAACUGUGAAGAAGAGGAAAUGGAUGUCUGGUCAAAGGGAUGAACAUCCUAAAGUAUCAACACUAAGAAAGAAGGAAGAAGUUCAGAAGAAAGAAGAGACACUAAAAAAUAAAACUACUGCCAUUCCGAUGAAGCCAAAAAUGAUGACAGUGAAGGAGAUGCACAUAAGGUUAGUUUAUUCAUAAUAAAUGGUUGUAUUUUUCCUAGAUUAUGAUUUAUUCUCUUGUAUAUUUACUAUUCAAUCUAGUUUAAUAUACUUACUAUUUCAUAUAAUUAAUCUUCAUAGGAGGUAGAUAAUUUGGGCAAGCCACCAGCAAAUAUCGCUGCUACCAUUCCGGUGAAGUCAACAAAAAAUGAAGGCAGUGAAAGAGAUGUGCACAAGGUUAGUUAAUAAAAUUAACUAUAUUUAAGUUGUUUUUGUCUUUGUAUGUGAGAUUUUUUUUUGUUGCCUAAUUGUUUUAAUUAAUAUAACUAUACAAGUCAAGUACAAUGUUUAAAACAAGGGCCAAGUUGCACAAGCUAGCUUUGCAGCCACAACAUAUUUAUAUAUAUUGCUGCAUACUCUCUCUCUCUCUAUAUAUAUACAUAUAUGUGUGUGUGUGUGUGUGUGUGUGUGUGUGUGUGUGUUUGUGUGUGUGCGCGUGUGUGCGCGCGCGUCUUAUUAGAAUUAAUUUUAAAAAUGCAAUUGCAAAUCACCCAGUGAAAUGUGUGUGGCCCAUUUUUAAAAAACUUUAUUGGCAUCAAUGCUUGAAUUAUUCUUAGGAGUGAAAAAAAAACUUAUAUUUACUUACAAUUUCAUAUCAUUAACAUCCACAGGAGCCAAAUGAUUUGGGCAAGCCACCAAAAAACACUAUUGCUGCCAUUUUGAGGAAAAGUCCAAGACUCAAUCCUUCAAUCCCAAAGGAUUAUGCAAAUGAUGAGAGGAAAAUAGUUGAAAGCAGUAACAAGCAAUUGGAUUUUGAUUGCAUUGAUGGUACAACUGAUGGUAUACAGGAGAUGCAUCCUGACAGUCCAACAAAAAAUCCACUUUUGAAAAAGGAUAAAGUAACAAAGUUGUAGUGCAGCCUAUGAGGAACACAAGGAGUGCAAUAUUCAAGCACCAGAACAAUGAUCCUAUGCUGCAACUAUUUGAGAAAUUGUGUGGGAAAUACCUGCCUGAUGAAAAUGAUAGUGUUCUGACAUAUAUGAUUGAUGAUAAUGUAUUCCAAAGACAUGCUUGUGCUUAUAUUGGGAAGAAAGAUUGUAAUGAAUUGUUGUCAAUGCAAGCACUAGGAGUAAAUGCUAUUCAAGUAUGUAUGGCGUAAGUGGUUUAAUGAAUUUUCUUUACACUAUUUUAUAUCAACUUAGUAUUUUUUUUUAUUAAUUACUGAUUUUCUAUUCAGGAUGUUGGAUUCCACCAUUCUACCAACCAGAAAAUUAAUAAAACCAUUUGGAUUCAUGUGUCCAAGUUUGGUUUGCCCAACAAAUCCAAAGGCUGUAGAAAAAUUUCGCUCAAAGAGAGUUGAGCAUAUUCACGACCGCUUGAAAAAAUCCAAAAAACAGACAACUCAUUCUCAUGCCAUACAAUCCUUCAUAAGUUUUAAUUUUCAUUUAAAACUUUUACAGUUGUUUAUGAAUUUAUAGUACUUUUACAACUGUUUGUUAAUUCAUGGUUUUGUUUUCUACUUUUUUUUCCAAUUGCCUUCUCCGUCUUGUUGCUACCAUUGGGUUUUAGUUGUGUUUGACGUGGUGAAAAAGAAAGUGUUUUAUGUGGAUCCUGUGCAGUCAAGUCCUGACACUAAUUUAGAACAGCUCCUUAAAAUGUAGGGAAAAGGACACAAACACCCCCAAUGUUUAAGUAAGAGACAUAAAACCUCCUAAUGUUUCAAAAAAGACACUCAGACCCCCAUUUGGUAACAGAAAUCGUUCCGUUAAAUCAUUAAAAGGUUAAUAUUGUAAUUGCAGAUUAAUAUCGAAUGAAUUGACCAAAAACCCACACACACUUGACACACACAAACAGAACACACGCACGCUUAACACACACGAACAAAACACACACACACCCUUAACACACAAACAAAUCACACACACACUUCUCCCAGAUCUUGUGGCUACCGAAAGUUACUGGAACUGCUCGCGCUGCCGCAAGCUGCCAGAACACUGCCUCUUAUUGCUGGAACUGUUCGCGAUCGAGGAAGCCACUGGUGUGCUGCUUGUGCGUCGAUCGAGAUCGAUUCUGGCUACUGGAACUGCUCGCGUUUGGCUGCUGCUCGUGCGUCGCUGCUGCUCGUUCGAUCGAGGAACCCGCGUUUGGUUGUUGCUCUUGCUUUGGAAUCCAGGUUUCAAUUCUCUUAAAACUAAUUUUUCUCUCUUUAAUUUUCGUUUUUUUUACUAAAUUAACUUCAUUUCUUUUUAUUAUCAUUCAAAAUUUAUACUUUUGAGAUUUGAGAAAAAAUUCUAAUAUGUGAUGUAAAAACUUUCUAGCUUGCAUAUGUGAUGUAUAUGCUAGAAUAUAAAUGAUGACCAAUUUUUUAUUUUUUGAUUUAUGGUUGUUUGAUGAACAGAGUUCUUAAUUUGUCCGGCUUAUUGGAGAUUUCUCGCUAAUACUUUUGUUAUUUUUUUAUUAUCAAUUUUUAGAUGUGCAUGGAAUAAAUGAAUCAAUUUUAUUUUUUUAUAUCUAAUCAGUUGGGUUAGAAUGCUACGUAGGUGGGAUAUUAUGCAUUUUCUUUUUUCUUUUUUUAAUGGUCAUGGAGUAUAUGAAUUUUGUGCUUAAUUUAUUAAUGAAAAGUAUGUACUCGUUUGCAGAUGGUAACAAAUAAUGGCUUGCUUUUAGAUAAUACUACAAAGAUAGCCCAACAAGAAUCAUUUCAAGCUGAGGUUGAUUAGUCGUCCCAAAACCUGAAUACUAAUCCAGUUUCUUUUUUUGAACUAGAAGUUGAUGAAGCAUAUUGGUCAAAUGAUGACAGAGUUGUCAUACAAAUUUGUGAACAUAUUAUGUUUUUUUAAAAAAAAAUAUUAUGAUUAUUGUUGUAAUAUUUACCGGUACCAAUUUAAUACAAUAUUAUGAUAUAAGGAUUUGUUGUUAUGUUUGUAGGACGGGUGGUUUUUAUGUCUAUUCGAUAUGUUAUUUAGUACAAUUAAGAUUUUGUAAUUAUUGUUGUAACCAAUUUUUUUUUGUUGAUUAUACAAGUUUAAAUGAUUGACAUAUGGAGAAUUAUUAUUCUUAUGGCAUUUAUAACUAAUUUUAUUUAUUUUUAUUCUUGAGUAAUGGAUUAAAUUUAUUUGGGUUGAAGAGAAAAUUUGACAAAAAAUUAAAUAGAAGAAUUGGGCAAUGAGGGUAUAUUCGUAAUUUUGUUAAUAAUAUAAGGAUAAAUUGGAUAAUAAAUAAUUAUUUUUUAAUGUGCUAGAAGGGUAUAAUGGUAAUUGCAUAUUAAAAUUAUAAUUUCCGUUAAAAGAAAUGGUUUUUGUUAACAAAUAGGGGUCUAAGUGUCUUUUUUAAAACAUUAAGGGGUUUUGUAUCUCUUACCUAAAUGUUGGGGGUGUCUGUGUCCUUUUCCCUAAAAUGUAUGUAUGCCAAUUUAUUUCAUGCAAUUGAUAUUUUAAGUUUUUUCAAUAUAAUUAAGAGAUAACAGUUUACUUUUUUUUAUAGCACCAUGACCCUCUUCACAACGGAGGAUAGUAAGAAAAAAUGGAAUUAUAAUUCUAAGAUGAGAAUUGUGAAGGUAUAAAAAAAGUAACCCUACAAAAACUAUAUGUGCCUAUCGAUUACAUAACUAAAAUGGAUGAGAUUUUGUAAGUUUUUUUUUGUGUGGCAUGAACAGGCUCCAAAACAAAAUAUCAUAAAAUUGCAGUGUGGCUAUUAUGUGUUAAGGUGCAUGAAGGUAAUAAUAGCAUAUGUUAGUUUAUUAAUGAACAAUGUAAGUUGAUGAUGACAUUUCUUAACUUUUUUUUAUUCCAUAUACAUGACAUUAUUUUUGAAGUUUGACCUCUUAAUAAUCUUGUGAUUAACAGGUUAAUGGAAAGAAAGUACACACUCAUAACGAAUUAAAUGAGGUUCGUUUGGAGUGGGCUAACCAUUUCUCUGACAUCCUUCUUGCAUCAGCAAAAUGGUUAGUAUGAGUAUGAAACUAUAAAUAUUAGUUGUAAAAAUUUAUUGAAAUUAAAGUUAUAGUGUCAAAUUAUAAUGGUUAUUGUUAACGAUUGUAGUGUGCAUGUUUUGCAUUCGAUAACAUUGGGUAUUUUGAUUGAUUCUGAAUAGAUUGGUUUGCUAGGUUUGGGUUGGAGUGUUGUUAUGUAUGUGGCUAGAAUACCAGUGGUGUGGAAAGAUGCUGAAUUGGAAGAUGUUGGGUUGCUGCUGAGUGUGUGUUGGGAGAGUUGUUGGGUAAGUGGCUAUUGGAAUAUUGCCGUUAGAAGAUGUAUUACUGUUGGAGGUUUUGUUGGCUUGGUGGUUGGAAUUUGAGUUGCUUUUCUUGUAGUUUAAUUGGAUGAAUGUGUUUUUUUUUUUUUUUUUAAUUUGGGAUGUUGAUUAUAUAUGUAUUGGUAGUGAUGACAAUAUUAGAUACUAGAUGUAUUUAUUUUGAAAUUAACUUAUUGGAAUGAAUGAAUGUUAAUUAAUAUUAAUUGUUUUUAGUUUUUUUCAUGAUGCUCAUUUUUAUUAAUUAAUUAAAUUUGUAAACAUGAAUACAAAAAUUAAUUAUAAUCGUAAUUUUUUUAAAAAAAAUUAAUUUUAUGAUGGGAAAUUCCCAUCAUAAAGUCUGUCAUAACAAUUUCCUGCCAAAAAAUGAAUAAUAAAUUUACAAAUGAUAACAUAAUUUCCCGCCAAACCUUAAUAAUAAAUUUACCAAUGACAAUAAAAUUUCCCACCAAAAUUUAAAAAUUUGGCUUGAAAUUUUAAAUAAAUUCAAAUUUUAAUUUAAUAAUAUUUUCACAUUAAAAUAUUGCGUGACGGAUAUAUGACUGUAAAAUACCAUCGUUAAUUCAUGACGGCAAAUAUUCUGUCAUAAAUUAAUGACAGUGACAUAGAUGACAUAUGAAUUGUCUGUCAUGAACCCUCUUUUAUAACAGUUAUUGUCCGUCGUCUAUUGCAUGUUUUCUUGUAGUGACCCAAAAAAUAUGGUUUACGAAUUUAAGAAAUCCAUCUACAGACUUAAGUAAGCAUCUUGACAAUGGUAUUUCAAGUUUCAUCAAGUGAUCAUCUUAUUUGGUUUUGAGGCGAGUUUGGUCGAAGAUUGCAUAUAUCAUAAGCCCUAUAAGAUUAGCAUAUUUUUCUAGUUUUAUAUGUCAACGACAUUUUGCUUGUCGGCAACGAUAUAGGCUUAUUGCACAACACCAAGAGAUUUCUAGUUAAGAAUUUUGUGAAUGUAUUCUUGCAAAUUCUCACCCUAUUAAAGAUCUCAUGACACCCAAAAGGGAAAAAAGUUAGAAAAAAGGUACUGCUAUUUACAGUUAUUAUAUUUUCGAUACUCUAAUUCUAAUAAAAUUUUAUAUCACUAAAAUAUAAUAUAAUUUACUAUUAAGAACAUUAAUAUAUUUUAAGAAAAAUUUAAUACCCUUAAAACUCAUUUAUACAUAUUAUUGCAGGUAAAAGCAUUAAAUAUCAGGUUUUUUCCUUGUCAUUAUUGAAUUUAAUCAAUUGUAAAAACAAAAUAUUUAGGGUCCAUUUAGGAUUUCUUUUGGGAGGUUCAAAAGUGAUUUUGAAAAGGUAAAUUUUAAUUUUCGUAUUUGGUAAAUUUUUUUAGAAAUUACUUUUGGCAAAAUCGCCCUAUCCUACAACAAAUUUGGAACAUAAAAAAAGAGUAACUUUUCAAAAUCUGAUUUUGAGAGUCACUUUUAUACUCAAAAUAAUUGCAUAUAUAUCCUCAUAUAUAUUAUUAAAAUCCACAAUUAUUCUUAUUAAUGAGAAAAUAAAAUCAUUAACUUUAAAGAGAUUAUUAUUAAUACUAAUUAUAUUGAGAUAACAAAAUAAAAAAUAAGAUAAAUAAUAUAAAGUAUUUAUUUUCGUUAUUAAUUAUCUUAUAUACACAAUUAAAAAUAUUGUGUGUGUGUGUUUAUAAAUGUGUAAGUAAAUUUUAUUCAACGUUGUGUUUAAUUCAAUCAUUUACAUUCUUACAAUUGUUCGACAGUAAGCUUUGCCGAACAUGUACAACUGCUUUUAAAACUUAUAGAUUUUUCAAAAAUAAAUUUUAUUAAAUAUUUAACUAAUUCUCUUCAUAACUGAUUAUUUCUACAGCACAGCUAAUAGUAAUUAUUUUAGAAGCCACAGUAUUACCAAACUGGCCUUAAAUUCUACGUGAUCUAGGAAGUCAUCAAGCAGGACACAUACUCUUCUCUUCAAUGGAACAAAUUGCACCAUUUAUAUAGAAGAACAUCAAAUACGAAGAAAAGUUGAGUCAAUCGAUUAUAACAUUCUUGGGCAUUAUGUUUUAUGACUUAGAGAAUGAUGAAAUAAUUUGCGCAGUACAAGAAAACAGGUAAUAGAUGACGGGAAAUAACUAUCAUAAAAAGGGGUGAAUGACAGACAGUUCAUUCGUCAUCUAUGUCACUGUCAUUAAUUUAUGACAUAAUAUUUUCCGUCAUGCAUUCAUGAUGAUAUUUUACGAUCAUAUAUCCGUCACACAAUAUUUUAAUGUGAAAAAAUAAUUAAAUUAAAAUUUAAAAUUAUUCAAAUUUUCGCGCCUUUUUUUAAGUUUUUUUAGCGGGAAAUUUAAUUAUCAUUUGUAAAUUUAUUUUUCAAUUUUGGCGGAAACUUAUUUAUGACAGAAUGUGUGAUGGGUANNNNNNNNNNNNNNNNNNNNNNNNNNNNNNNNNNNNNNNNNNNNNNNNNNNNNNNNNNNNNNNNNNNNNNNNNNNNNNNNNNNNNNNNNNNNNNNNNNNNAAUUUAUUGAUGAAUUCCUGUUUACAAAUUUAAUUAAUUAAUAAAAUGGAUAUCAUAAAAAAAUAAAAACAAUUGAUAUUAAUUAACAUCCAUUCAAUUUAACAAAUUAAUUUUGAAAGAAAUACAUAUAUUAUCCAAUGUGAUCACCACCAAUACAUAAUAAAACAUCUCAAAUUGGAAAAACCAUCCUAAAGAAUAAAAUAAUAGUUAAAUUCCAAUCAAGCUCCAAGAAAAUCAAUUAAAAUUUCAGCCACCAAGCCAAGUUACCCAAUAAAAUUUCCAAAAAUUAAUGCAAGUAUUCCAACGGCAAGAUUUUGAGCAAAACUUCCAGUAGCAAUACCAUCUUCCAACAGCACUCUAAUUCUAGCUACAUACCCAGGAACACUCCAACUCAUAUGCAGCAACUCACCAUCUUCCAAUAGCACUCUAAUUCCGACAUAUAUCCAGUAGCAUUCCAACCCAAAGAAGCAAACCAAUCUAUGCAGAAUCAAUCAAAAAUCUGCAGGGGCUGUCUUGCUAUUGUUCUGAAGUGAAAAAAGCUCCUGUAAAUUACUAGGGUUGUUUUCACUGUAGAGAAGCAGCAAAACAGUCAAUGUAAACUUCCAACGGCUAUUUUGAUAGCAGAACUAUAGCAAAACAUCUAAAGUUUGCACUAAGGUCUCAAGUGAUCCUUUCAGAUGAAUUAGAAAGGAAAAUAUUAUUACCUGUGUUAGACACCAUUGUUGAAGUCAUAGCAAAUAGCCUGCAAAUAUAAUAACAACAUUUACAUUAGUUUAUGAAACUACUGUUAUUAUUUUUUUACAAGGAUAUGUAAAUGAAUAAUAAGAGUAUUUUAAGUUACAUAUAUACUGCACCUUGAGAGACCAGCCAUUGAUGUGCCAUUGUAGCUUUUGAAAAUAAUAUAGUAUACACAAAGUGAAUUUGUAGAAGCUAGUUAUACAUUUAUUAAACAAAUAAACUUGAAAAAAGAAUUAGAUGACCAAAUUAUAAGUGUAAGCAUUAUAAUAUAAUUACCUUUAAUAUUUUUGGAGCAUUUGUUGCAGAAACCAUAGCUAUGAGAAGAAAUCGUGUCAUCAACGUCUGAAAAACAAUGUAAUUUUCAGUCCCAUAUAUGAUUAAUAUACACCAUUAAUAGUCUAGUUUUGGGCAUUAAAAGGAUCUAAAUUGAUAUAUGUAAAGGUUUACCAAAUAAAAGGAACAAUUUCUUUUGUCAUGGGAGCAAGUCAUUUGCCAUUUUUAAGAAUUUUAAAAAUCUUAAUUUAAAACUAGUAAAAUGAAGGCUCAAUGUAGUUGGAGGACAAUUGUUAAAUGAUAAAAAACUACUUAUCUUCUACCCACUGAAAGAGAGUAGCAAUUGAAUCUUAAAUAAAAAUAGUAAAAGUUCAAAGAGAAUUUUAUUUCUAUACAAAAUGGUUGCCAAACAAAUUGUGCUGCAGAGCACAUACCUUGAAGCCACAACAGUACAUGCAUUUAUGAUCAAGUCUUGCUUUAAAGUUUGGAUAGAAGCAUAUGUUACAAUAGAUGCAGAAAUUGUGCCAACACUAUCAACCUCUGAAAGGAUUAGGUUCAAGUUAGCAAAAAGAGAAUCAUGAAUUUCAUAUUCCUGUUGAAUACAUGUGUGCCAAUGUCAAUGCCAUUUGCAUCUAGGGGCAUUGCAUAGCUUCACACAUGCUAGCAAUGCCCACUUAAAUGUAGGCUAUUCUGAAUCUACCCAACAAUAGCAUUUUGGUAUAGAUCAUAGCAUGAAUAUGAAUUCUAUGUUCUGUAAAAGUUAACAAUUAAAGGCCUACAAGUUAUUAAGCACGGUUUCCUUAAGGAUCUAAUGUAUGAUAAAUAUGUUAGUCUUUUAUCAAAUUUCUUAUUAAUGUGAUUCUUAAAGUUCCAUAAAGCAUUAGAGAAAGCGUAGCCAAAAAACAACCAUGGCAAUUAACUAAUAUUUGGAACAUAAUACAAAAAGAAAAUAGAAAUUACCAACACAAAUAAUAAGGAUAAAAUACUAACCUAAAGAUGUGUCUUUUCCUAGCCAUAUUAUAUCUAGGUGGAGGUCUUUGUAAGUACUAUGAUACCUAACCCAAGGGAUCCUUUCUGGAAAUCUGAUCAGUUGUAUUAACCCAUCAAACUUAAGACCAACCAAUGAACAUAAAUAGAACUCAGUUUAUAAGCAUAUCUAGCUAAAGCACAAAUAUGCUAUUGCCAAAGGUUAGAACAAUAACCAAUACACCCUUCUGAAGAGCUUGCUCUGGUAGUACCAAAAUCGGAACACAAAAGUACACUUGCAAUGUGUAAAUUAUAGUUGCACAUCAAAAGCUCAAUCAGCACAACAAAAUUUACAUAGGCAAGCAAACCUUUUUAACUCAACAAUGAUGCACACUUCAAAACUUAAUAUUUUGCGACCUACACUCGUUAAAAGUUUAGUAAUUCACAAAUUGCAGUUUAAAAAAAAGUUAAAUGGCCUGCCGAGGAUCAAUCAAACUAAUUGAAAACAAAACCAUCUUAACAUAAAUCCGAUUUUUUACAUAUGUACAUAUUCUUUAAAUACAAUUGAUUGCAAAGAGUGUAAGAACUGACCUGAAAGAGCACAGAUGCUCAUAUAGAUAAAUAAACAUUGCAAUAUUUAAGUGCUUUAACAAUAAUUUAAUUUAAUACUAAACACAAACAAAAUCAAUUGAGAACUGGCCUGAAAGUGCAUUAGACAUAUCAAAGAGGAACAAUCUAGUUAGAUACUUCUCUAAUGCAGUUGAGGCUUCAAUAAUACAAACAUUCUUGAUACUGAAAUGACAUCUAAAGGAACAUGGCUAUCGAAACCAGAGCAGUCUACAAGAUUACCAAUUCUAGUUGUACUCAAAGAAACUGGACUCCUAAAAAUAGCAAAUUUUGACAAAAAUAAUUUUAGUAUCUAAAUUUUCUUUUUUUAAAAAAAACUAAUAAAAGGAAAGGUGAAACUGAUUUAUUAAUCUUAUCUUUAUCAUUCAAGGUAAACAGUGUAACUCCAUAUGUAGCCCAUAACCAGCCUAAUAAUGAAUGCAGCAAAUGAAAUGAAUGUUAAAACACUAAACUAAAAAGAACUUCAGUAACUAGAAACCUAAAUAAAAGUGAACCAAUAAGAACAGAGUGUAAUUCUCAGCCCAUAGGAAGGGAAACUCUAUCAACUAUGAAAUAUAGGGACCAAUGUAGGAGGCAGACGUUCAUUUUUCUCAAUUAUCUGAUCCUCUUCUUCAAUUGCCCCAAAGACAUUGGCUCUGAGUUCAGCCUAGCAAACAAACUGAUUUGAGUCGGUUACAAUGGCAUAAAAAUUGAAUUAAAAGGAAAGACUUUACUAUAAUUAAAAUAUUCAUCGAAUAUUAAGAAAACACCAAAAAUAAAAUUUUGGGCAAAACCCAUCAAUCCAGUCAGAGUUAUGACCUUCCAGAUAACAUCAAUCAGCCAUAAAUCUAUUUAACUUUAUCUUUAAACCCUAAUUUCUCUUCAAUUUCCUAUUAAAGAAAUUUAACCACACAAUAUAGAUGAGAUCUAUAAAAUGCAAAAAAAAAAAAAAAAUGCAUUGCACGAGAUUAGACAUAAAACAAGAGCUAAACUAAUUUCAAAUUUCUUCUCUUUUUUCUUCAGCAAUUCUUCGCGACAACUAUGGGGAAAUGAAGAAGACGAAGUGGUAGUUGGGUAUACUCAUACCCGGAUCUUAGAGAGGACGCCUUUCUUCUCUAGCAUUCUGGUGACUAGGGUUUUGAGGUCCAUAUUUCUCGACUGUAAUCCUUUAUUUUUGAAUAAGCUUGCUCUCUGUCUCUCUUUCACCGUUGCUUCUGCUGUUUGUGUGCGAGAAAUUAAGACUUUGAUAGAGGAGAAACCAAUAGAGUAGUACUAGGAGGGAAGAAAUGUCCAACAUCCUUUUUUUUUUCAAUAAUGGCGUUUGAGAUUGCGGCAAGAUGAGGGAAGUCAGUAUCGGGAGAAGUCGAGGGUUUUCAGUUUCGGUCUUCGUCUUUCAGGGAUUUUCCGUGGUAUACCCCAAAAAUAGGGUAUUUAUCUAAAAAUACUCCAUAUUCAAAAAUUCCUCUUAUAUGCCUUUUUCUAAUAUGCAGUUACGAAAUUACCCUAAUAAAAAACUUAAAUUAACCAAACUAUCACAACUAAUCAUGUAACAAAACCCCUAAUUCUCUCUCAUGAGCAGCGUCUCCUUCAGCUCGUUCUUCUGGAUUUCUCCUCCUCCAUUUUACCAAUCCCUGCAAUUUUACAACAAUUCUUCUACACUCUCACCGAAAUGCAGCAAAACAAGUAAAACAACGCCGCUUCUGUGCAAACUAGUAGCUGCAAUUCCCCCACUCUCCUUCAGCGUGUCCUCCUCCAUUUUACAAAUCCCUGCUAUUUUACAACAACUCUUCUACACGCUCGUCGAAACACGGAAAAACAAGUAAAACGAGAAAUUGAUUGUAACCCUUGUGCUUUGAAGGUAAUUUAUCAAUUUAAUAUAUGUGGAAAUGUUAGGUGGGACUAGGAUUUUGCUUUCCAUCCAUGAGGAGUUGUAUCUUCAUCUUGAAAAUGAUUGUUCUGGCAUACUCCGGAAUUCAGGAGUAGCUUUUCAAUAGCUCAUCUCUAAACAAAUUUUUAACAUUACAAAAGAGAUAUUUUACAUUUUCCAUGAACUUCUAGACUAGGAGUUGUCUUGAAAUUAGUUCAUGAAGCUGUGAUAAAUCAUUGAACAAAUUCAUUGCAUUUUAUUUGAUUAAUAAUGUUAGAUUAGGAAAGAGAAAAAGAUGAGUAACUUGUGGUUUACAAAUUUGUCACAAGGUGAUGAGAACUAUGGAAAAACUGGGAACCACUCCCCCCCCCCCCCCCCAAAAAAAGAAAGAUUGUGACUUCUCCAGUGAUGCAUCUCAAUCUUACUACCUGUAUGAUUUAACCGUAUUUAUGAAUGAAUAUCUAUGAUUGCUUAUGAUAUCUGAAGUUCUAACUGAAAGGGAUUGGAAAAUUGAGGAAACAGUUUGUGCUAACUAACAUAGUGGAUUUUUAAUUUCUAACUAAGACAGGGUAUAAUUACUUUUUAAAAGAAGGGGGGUGGAGAUACUAAUGUACUUCUGGAGACCAAUCACGUUAUGAUUCUUAUUUGUUAAUAUGGUUCGAUAUUUAAGUAAAGAAGUGACCUUUUGUUAUUGUUAGAUGAGUUUGUUAUCAAAUUGUGUAUUCUGCUUGUUCUUAUUUGAUUUUCACUGAUACGGUUUUAACAUCCAAAUUCACCAAUGGACUCAUUACGCAAAUGAAGAAAGAAUGUGAUUUUGCAAACUUAUGUGACUAUUUAUUCUCUUUGUAGAGCUUAAGUCGCGUGCUUCUAGUUAUGGUUCUCUGCUUUCUAAUAUUUAUAGUUACCCCUUUCUAUUCUUUUUCUCUUUGAUGGUAUGAGAAGAGUCAAAACUUUUAUUAGCUGCAGAAUUUUUUAUGACGUUGUCUGCAAAUGCCACUGUAGUCUCAAAGCAAGCAGGUUGAGGAGGUUACAUGUAAUCCUGGAUUUUAUAGAACUUCCAAUUAGUUGUUCCUUGAGGCUCACUAGAGGUACCAUACAACUCUUGGUUUGUUUAUCAUGUGUAAGAGCAAUAUAUUUGGUUCAUUCUUAUUCAAUUUUUUUAGUGGUGAUUGUGGAGCAUUUUUGUUGCGGUACUUGGAGGUCCUAGCCCAUGGACUUGAUGUCAAUUCAUAUUGCCAACAAGAUCAUGUUUCACAAUUUCGAAAAACCUUGGCUGUAAAAUUAUUUGGGCUUAGGUCAUGGAAAAAAACUUUGUAGUGUCAUUUUUUUGGACUAUGAGAUGUAAUAGUUAUGAUGAGGAUGUUAUUGAUAUUUGAUGUCAUUAAAGAUAACUUGACAGCAUUAAUAUAUUUUAUUUCUUUGUUAAUUAUAUUAAUGAUAGAUAAGAUAGUUUGUACAAUCUAUGUGAUAUAACAUGAUUGCCAUAUAUGCACAGGGAAUACACUGUAAGAAAAUACACGACUGCAGUCGGGUAUUUGCACAGAUACACGACUGCAGUCGGGUAUUGACAAAUAAACAUGACAAGCUCUCUGUGACAAAAUACACGACUGCAAUCGGGUAUUUGCACAGAUACACAACUGUAGUUGGGUAUUUAGAAAUAUUGCAGUCGGAUAUUUGCACAGAUACACAACUGCAGUUGGGUAUUUAGAAAUAAACAUGACAAGCUCUCUAUGACAAAAUACACGACUGCAGUCGGGUAUUUUCACAGAUACACGACUGUAGUCAGGUAUUUAGAAAUAAACAUGACAAGCUCUAUGUGACAAAAUACACGACUGCAGUCAGGUAUUUGCACAGAUACACGACUGUAGUCGAGUAUUUAGAAAUAAACAUGACCAGUUCUGUAAUAGCCAUAUUACACGAUUGUACUCAGGUAUGUGUACAGAAGAAAAACUCUUUUCAAUCAUUCAUUAUAUUGAUGACACAAUCAAUAUAGACUUUAACAUAUCAAACUUCAAAUAAAUGAAACUAACUGUAGUCCGGUUGCCUAUCAAAUAACAUAAAUCCAAUACGUAUUGAAAUCGUAAAUAAGUCGUAAUACAAUAGAAGUUGUUUAACAUUCAUCAUAAAUUUUAUAAGCCUCUGGUCGCCUCCCUUCAAUACUUAUUCUUAGAAAGCUACACAAAUACGUUUAUUCAUCUGCGAAAUAAAAAAGGUAGAAAUUUAUCACUAAAUAUGAAAGAUAUUCAAAAAAUUAAAACAACAAAAAAUAACAAGUAUAUAAGGUUCAUAGUAGUACAUGUGCUUGUUUAUGUUUCAUUUGGUCUAACUAUGGGCUCAUUGUUAGACAGUGAGAUUGGUGCACUGCAAGUUAGUCGAUUAUGUCUUCGAGAACCACACCUACCACACUUACAGCGCAACUUCUCUUCGCCUUGUGAUGUUAUCCUAAUUUGUUGUGGUCGACCUUUUUUCCGCUUUUCCAUAGGGGGCAAAACCUCAUUACUGUAAUAAUACAACAGUUGAUUAUACAACAAAUACAAAAAUAAAAUCAAACAAGAUUUAUAACGAAGUGUGGAUAUGUCUGCCUAUUUACACGACUAACGUCGUGUAAUUGAUAGUUUACACGACAAUAGUUGUGUAACUUGCUAAAAUACACAACUAUAGUUUUGUAAACAAUUAGAUGAUAUAUUUAAUAAAAUAUAAUUGUAAUCUUUAUACUAACAGAAUGCUAGGUGUCAUAACAACUACUAUAUCUUUCAAACUUGCACGGUUGUUGUCGUGUAAAUUCAUAAAUACAUGACAGAAGUGGUGUAAGUUGCAAAAAUACAUGACUUAGUAAAUAAUCAGAGGACAUAUUUCUUCUUAAAAAAAUGUUGGGAUCUCAUAACAAUUGGAACAUUUUACAUAUAUACACAAUUAUAGUAUGUAAGUUUAUACGUACACGCUAGUAGUCAUGUAACUUAUUAACACACACGAUUAUAGUCCAGUAAUAGUAAAAGGAUAUAUAUAGUGAAAAAAAUAUAUUUUUUGAACCAAUAGAAUGAUAAGGUGUUAUAAUAAUUGAAAUUUUUUGCACAUUUUUACGACUAUAGUCGUGUAAAUACAUACAUACAUGACUGUUGUCGUGUAUGUCGGGUGCAGAAAAAAAAUUGACAACAACUUCAGGUUUUAACGAAUGUAGUUAUAAAAUCCAUCAAAUAAUAGUCAUAUGAUGCAAAUGUAAUGAAAAUAUGAGUUGCUUUAGUGUUUAUCACAAACCAAACAAAACCCUAAAAAUAAUAUAAUGUCAACAAAUUGAAUAAAUAGCCCAAAAUUUAAAAAAAAAAAGUUUCAAAUACCUUAUUCAUGGGAUGAAUAAUACACCCAGCUGCAAACAAAAAUCUCAGUACAUUAGCUAUUUGUGAGUGAUUUUGAGUGUGGUGUGAGUUUUUGUUGUGUGGAGUAAACAAAAAGAGUGAGAAGUAAAGAGUGUUGUGAGUUGUGUGUGUUUUAUAUUUUUCUUUAGGGAUAUUUUAGACAAUGUACCACAUAAAAAGGCAUAGUUAAAUAAUUUUCAAGCAUGGGGUAUAUUUAACUAAAUACCCUACUUUUAAGGCAUAUUUAAUAAAAAACCCCUUUGUCUUUUGUGUGUAUGUUGUGAAAAAUACUUAGACAAACAUACUUUUAAAAUUUAUUUUAGAAUUAAAAAUUUUAAAAAUUUAAUAUUUUAAAUUUAUGAUCAAAACGUCGUCGUUCCAACUUAUGCGAAACGAUGACGUUUCUUGAUUCAUAUAACAUUUUGCUUAAAAAAAAACUCAAAAUUUUGGUCAAAAUAGCGCCAAAGUAAAGUCAACAUUAAAAAUAGUGUAAUUGUUCACAUAUUAAGUAAUGAAUUAUAAGUUGACAUGUGGCUAAAUAAAAAAAAAAUUCGUGAUAAAAAAUUAUUCUAUCACAAAACCAUUAUUAAUUCCUGAUAAAAAAUAAUUUUAUCACAAAACCAUCAUUAAUCCGUGAUAGAAAAUAAUUCUAUCACAAAACCAUCAUUAAUCUGUGAUAGAAAAUAAUUCUAUCACAAAACCAUCAUUAAUCCGUGAUAGCAAAUAAUUCUAUCACAAAACCAUCAUUAAUCCAUGAUAUCAAAUAAUUCUAUCACAAAACCAUCAUUAAUCCGUGAUAGAAAAUAAUUCUAUCACAAAACCAUCAUUAAUCCAUGAUAGAUUAAAAAUUUUAUCACAAGUCUAUUAUAUUUUUAUGAUAUAAGCCAAGUCAGUCACAAGUUAUCUAUCAUCUAUUGCCAGUUUUCUUGAAGUGGUGGGUGUAUAAAAAAAUAAAAAAAUAAAAAAAUAAUUAUGAGUAUGGGUUUAAUAAAGGACUGUUUUGGUAUUUGAAAAGUGUGCUAGUAAAAAUUAUAUUUUAAAAUUUAUUAAAUGAGUGUGCAGAGUAAUAGAGUGCUCAAAAUAAACUUUAGAGUAUAACUUUAGAAAGUUAAGAUUAUAUGUAGUGCUUUAUAUGUUCAUUAGACAUUUUAGUGCGAUCGUUCAACCUUUAAUGAAAUCAUACUAGUUAAUCACAAUAAUGAUUGGUUAAUUUUAAAAUUAGAUAUAUUUAUGGGAAGAUUUUAUUACUUACAUAAAUGAUGUGAUAGACAUGUUCCAUUUUGCACAUGCUGCGCGGAGUUUUUGGUUUUCAUGGCUAAUUGUGGCUACUUGUUGUUAUUAAGGUGCAAAUUUGAGGGACGUACCAGGUCUACCGAUUGAUAAAAAGAACAGGGUAGCACUGAUGUCUUACUUACCGUCCAUUAGUACUUGGAAUUAAUUAACUACAUUUGCACUUAGAGUUAAAAUCCCACUGCCACUAGAAUAUGAGUAGAGAUGGCAAAUAUCCAAUUAUGGAUGGAUAAUAUCCAUCCAAAUACAAAUCCAUAAUUAUCCAUGAUAGAUAUAUCCAUAUCCAUAUCCAGUAUUUAAUAUUGGACAUGGAUAUGGAUUUUAUCCAUAAAGAUAUGGAUAUCCACGGAUAUCCAUGAAUAUUUUAUUUUUAUUAUAUAAAAAAUAAUAAUAAAAUAAAAUAAAAAAUAGUUAAAAACAGUAUUAAAUUCUAAUAUCAAAUAAAAAAUAAUAAACAUAACAAAUAUCAAAACUAUGAAUUAAAAAAAUUAUAAUAUGAAAUUACAAAUUAAUUUCAAAUUAAAUACAAAAAGUUCAUUCCUCUAACGCAUCAUUAAUCUCCAAUCUUCUAACACAUCAUUAAUCUCCAACUAGAUCAUCAUCAUUAAUCUGCAAAUUCAAACAAAACACAGAUAAUAUUAAAUGCACAAUGAGCCAAAUGAAAAAUGAAAGAAGCUUGAUAGUGUAAGUUCAGCCAGUUGUGACAGUUACCUGCGGAUAUGAUGAGUGCCUGACCAGUAUAAUUCAGGUUUGCCUUUGUCCAAGGAAUUUUUCAAACUGUAACCAACUGAUAACAAAAAGUAAAUGAGAAAAUGACAGAAAAAAGCCAGACCUGCCAUUUGAUGCAUGAAUAGAGCAGAUAUGAACUAAACAGGAAAUUCUGAAACCAUAUAAUUUGCCACCAUGGCCAUAACAAAUGAAAUAUCUUUGGCAGCCGGAUAGAUUUUCAAAUCAAGUGAAACUUAAGAUGAAUAACACAGGACAAAAGAUUAGGUAAUAGAAGACAGGGCCACAGAACAGAACACCAGGGAUCUGUAACAUUGAGGUCCUUUCCUAAAAAUAUACUCUUCAAUUAGGCACAACAAUAAGCAUCAAGCACAUACCAAAAAAAGAAAAUAAACACUAUUCAGAACAUGGUUGGGUCUCCUCUUCAUCAUCAUUAUCAGUCACUUCUCCAUUUAUUUCUUCCCCAUUCAUCACUUUAUCUUUAGGAAUCUCACCUAAUUUAAAAAAAAAACUUGUAAAAUAUAAAAAAAAACAAAUACUAUCAAAAUCAAAUAAGUGCAUAAGUGAGCUGAAUUUGAUACCUUUUAAUUGAGCCCAUAUCCAAUUCUGAGUACACAUUAAGGCCUCUACUGUACUCGGAUGAAGUCUACUACGAUGUGGGCUUAAACAUCGACCUCCCGCACUAAAAGCAGAUUCGGAAGCAACUGUGGAGACCGGAACAGCCAGCAAAUCUCUAGCAAUCUCAGACAAUAUCGGAUAUCUACUUCUAUUCACCUUCCACCACAUUAAAAUAUCGAAGUCUGGAGUAGUCUUAUCCUCUUCUUCCAAGUAAGUAUCUAACUCCGACUUAACUCGUUUACGAAUAUGUUGGCUUUUGAAUGCAUUAAAUUUUUGCACAUCCCACAUACCCAUCACAACUGAACUAGAAUUAGAAUUACAAACAACACUAGACUCACCAAAUCCUUCAGCCAAAUUCGAUCCAACCACACUCUUUUUUUUAUAUUCUGAAUAUAAGUCAGAACAGAGAGUACGGAUUCUAUCAAUAUGAGUUGAUGCAUCACUACCAUAAAUCUGAGGAAAGAAAUAAUCCACUAGAACCAUUUUGUAUCUAGGAUCCAAUACAACAGCAACAGCCAUUACACCAUGGAUUUCAUCCCAAUAUUUUCCAAACUUUUCUAACAUACUUUUCGCCAUAUUUUUUAUCACAUCACAUGAAGAAUUAAGCCAAGCAUUCAAUGAUAAUCUAAUUUCACAAAUUAUUGGAAAAAAUAAGUUAGCCAUAUAUUAUAUAUACUAGCAGAUUCUUUGAAGAAAGUAACCACUGCAUAUUGAAACUCUUCCAAUUCCUCUCUCUCUCUCUCUCUCUCUGUACACACACACACACACAGAGCCAUGUAAACAAAAAUAAGAAAAAUAAUGGAAGCCAUAAAGGCAUAAGAUUUUAGGCUUGUAAAAGCUUAUUUCAUGUUUAAUCAUGGAGCCAAAUUCAUAAACUAAAUUAAACCCCAUCCAGCAAUUAAUCAAAAUCUAGAUUUGUGACUGACAAAAGGUGAAGAAAAUAUUUGCAUAAUUUUAGUAAAAUCACCAGAAAUACGGUGAAAAUGCUGGGUACUGUGAAGAUCAAUCAAAGCCAAAUAUAUAUUAAACGGCUUAUAAGCUUCAGCAAUCAAAACUUACCUUGCGCGGGAGACAACGAACAGGCGGACGGACGACGGUGGUGGCAGCGACGACAGAGACGAUGGUAGCUGGAACGAGGCAGAAAAACGCUCAAGAACAGCUGGAAGCUGCAGUUACGGCUGAUCAACCAUUGGUACAGCGCCGGCGCACCUAAACGGAACCCCCGGAAAGCGGCGUCGGAGUUGGGGAAGAGCGUCGGUAAGCAAAGACCGGCCGGCGAGCGAUGUGAUAAUCUUAGGUUUUGCUAUCCAGACAUUUGUUUUUGCUUAUUUCAUUUUAGUUUUACGAUUUUAAUUUUUUAAUUUCAAAUAAGAUAUUAAUUGGAUAUUGGGUAUCCAUUGGAUAUCCAUACCCAUCCAAUUUUUAUUUGGAUAUUUUUUAAAAAUAUCCAUAUCCAUAUCCAAAAAAUUUUGGAUGGAUAUUAUCCAAUCCAAUUGGAUUGGAUGUAUGGAUAUCCAAUUUAAAUGGACCAAAUUGCCAUCCCUAAAUAUGAGCCUUCCUUCUUCAGUGCCAGCUAUAAGGAUGAAAGUUAAUAAUCGAUGGACGAAACUUCCUUUUGAAAUAGAGAUUGAGAAUGUCAAAUUCAAGCAUUUUGGAGCAGUUACUAAGGUAACUAAGGGGAUGUAAGAUUUUAUUUUAUGUUUUGUUAGAUUAAAAUAUGAUGAUGAGUUAACACCUAGAAAAAUGUUUGAGGAACUAAAGUUUGACAAAAAGCUGGCAAAAACACACUCAAAACAACGUUGUUUUGUUUUUUUUUUUGUUUUAAAAAAAAUAUUAAAUUCACUCAAAAUGAUGUUAUUUUGAUUAUAUUUUUGUCAUCCUUUUGUCAGGCUUGAGUUUAUAGCAGUACUCUAGUACUUAAUAUUGUUGUUACAAAAAUUUAAUUCAUCUCUCUUUCUUUUUAAUUUUAUUUUUUGGUGAUCAUUUAUACAUUUAAAAAAUAGGCGUUAUGUUUGUGAAGAGGAAAAUGACAAUAUUGAUAUAAGUAUAUCAACCAAAAGGAAAACAAGUCGCAAGGUAAUUAACUAGUUAAGCUCCUUAAUCCUUAUUAUCUUACAACAGAAAAUUAACUAGUUUAUUUUUGGAUUAAUAUUAUAUUCUUGAGUUUUAUUUUCAGGAAAAUGAAAAGUUCUUACUGCUGGGCCCUUCGGCUCCUUCCUCGGGCCCUCUUCUGGGCACUCAGACCGUCAUUCUAUAUAAAUGACCAAUUCUUAAAAAAAAAAAGAAGUAAAUUGUUAUAAACUAAUAGGUGAACUUUCACCAUUUAUCUCAAAUUGGUAAAUCAUCAUUUACCCCUUAGCUUUCCAACUCUAUAUAUGUAAUGUAUUCAUUCGCAUUGGUAACAAUAAAAUUCGAAAGCUUAUCAAUAAUAAGCUUAGUAAUAAGGUACUUUUAAGUACUUUGUUUAAUUCAAAAUUUUUCUGUUAUCUAUUUAUUUUAUAACAUGCUAUCAACAUGAUGGCUGAUUUGACGUGAGUAGUUGAAUUUUUAUUACUUGUGUUUAUUUAUGUUUAUUUCUUUUAUGUUUUGUCAUCAUUAUUAUGAGUUAUUACUUGUGUUUAUUUAUGUUUAUUUCUUUUAUGUUUUAUCACCAUUAUUAUAAGUUUGUUAUAUUGUUUAUUUUUUAUGAACUUUUUUAUGGCUGGUUCUAUAAUACCGCCUAUAUUAUUAUUAUUAUCUUUAUAUUAAUAUGUUAUUAUUCUAAUAUUGAUUUACAUGGUUGGUUCAACCGCCUGUCUUGUUUUAACUUAUCUGCUUGUAUGACUUGUUCAACCGCCUACCCUAUUUAAUUUAUUUGCUGAUAUGGCUGGUUUAAUUACCUAUUAAGUUAUUUUAAUUUCAAUAAAUUAUAACUUGUUCUUGCAUAUACUUGUCUUUGAAUAUUAUUGUUAUAUUCUGAAGUCUACAACACAAAUGAGGUGGUGAGAACUUGAAGUUCUAAACAACUACAUAAAGUUUCUACAUAUUCUAUAAUUUCUGUUUUUUUUAUACUUAAAUAUUUAUAUUGUGACACUUAUUUCUAUUUUCUUUAAUCAUUAAUAAUAAGGGUCCUAGAGAAAUGGCAACUCUCACGAAUAUGCAAAUCCCUGCUCUUGAAGUUUGGGGAGGAAACUACCUUUCUUGGGUAUUGGAUGCCAAAAUGCAUUUGCAAGCUAUGAGCCUAGAAGGCACUAUAGUAGAAGGAAACGAGGCAUCUCUCUGGGAAAAAUCAAAGGCCAUGGUUUUCCUCCGCCGCCAUAUACAUAAGAGCUUGAAAGCUCAAUAUCUAACAGUGGAGGAUCCACUAAUUUUAUGGAGUAACCUCAAGGAAAGAUUUGACUAUCAGAGGGAUAUUUCCCUACCAAAUGCCAAACACGAGUGGUUAAACUUGAGAUUCCAAGAUUAUACAAGAGUCUCUGAUUACAACUCUAUUAUGUUCCACGUAAGCCUAGAACUACAAUUGUGUGGGGUAGAAAUUACAGAUAGAGAUAUGCUUGAAAAGACACUCAUUACUUUUCAUGCAUCAAACGUUGUCUUACAACAAUAAUACCAGGAGUGUAGAUAUAGCAAAUAUUCUGAAUUGAUAACAACUCUUUUAAUUGUUGAGAAAAACAAUGACCUCCUGAUAAAAAACCAUGAGUUAUGCCCAAUUGGCUCUUAACCAUUCCUAGAAGCGAAUGUGAAUACAUGUAGCAAUCGUGAACGUAAUCAAGGAGGUAAAAGAGAUCUUGGUCACUACCAUCGUGGUGGUUAUAGGCAUGAAGGACAAUAAAACAACAAAUAUGGAUGCCACCAAAAGUGAAAUGUUUAUGAGAGACCUAAAUCCAAUGAUGCAAGAAAGAAUAAUGUUAGAAAUGAUAAUGGAGAAAUAUGUUAUCGACGUAGCAGGACAUUGGUCACAAACUUGUCGGACUGAAAAAAAUUUGGUGGACCUUUAACAGGCAUCCAAGAAAGGAAAGGGAAAAAUUGAGACAAAUUUAGUCGAGAACUCAGAUCUUGUCGAUUUGACUCAUCCGGAUGCCUUUGAUUUUUUUGAAGACAUGGAGGGAAAAAUGAUAAAUUAAGUAAUAAUAGAAAUGUCCAAACUUUUAUGCUAGUUGCUAAUAUGCUAACUUUUGUAUCUAUUUGUAGUUUUAUCAAUUGUACUCAAUGUUUAUUUUGAUGUUUAACACUUUGGUUUAAUGAAGGUUAUGGAUUUUAGAAAUCAAUUAUCUAUUUUAGAAUCAAAGGCUUAAGAUGUUUACUUGGCUGACAGUGUAACCACACACACUAUUCUUCAAGAUAAAAAAUAUUUCUUAGAGAUAAAAUUACUUGAAGGAAAAAUAAAUAUGAUAUCUAAUCCUGCAAACUAAAAUUACUUGAAAGAAAAGUAAAUACUAUAUCUGGUCAUGCAGACCUAAUAGAAGGCUCUGGAAGUGCUAUACUUUUGCUGGCAAGCGGAACAAAACUAAUAAUUCAGAAUGUUUUAUAUUCAGCAAAAUCUAAAAGAAAUCUACUAAGCUUUAAAGAUAUCCACCGAAAUGGAUAUCAUAUUGAGACUUCCAAUGAAAAUAAUGUGGAAUAUCUCUACAUUACUAAAAAUGUCUUAGGAAAGAAAUAUAGACUGGAAAAACACAAAGCAUUCCCAGAUUGUAUUAUACAAUCAUAAAUGCAAUUGAAAGCCACGCAGUGAUGAAUUAGAAGUUCACAGAUCCAAGAUAUUUAUGUUGCGGCACGAUCGUCUCGGACAUCCUAGAUCUACAAUAAUGUGUAGAAUUAUUGAAAAUUCUUAUGGACAUCCAUUAAAGAACCAGAAGAUUUUAUUGUCCAAUGAGAUUGUUUGUAUCGCUUGCUCACAAGGAAAAUAUAUAGUUAAACCAUUUCCUUUCUAAGGUUGGUUAUGAAUCUCUAAUGGUUCUGCAAAGAGUUCAAGGAUAUAUAUGUGGGCCAAUCCAUCCACCUAGUGGACUGUUUUGUUACUUUAAGGUGUUGAUUGAUGCAUCUGCAUGGUGGUCACAUGUUUGUUUAUUAUCCACCCUCAACGUUGCAUUUGCAAGAUUACUUGCCCAAAUUAUAAGAUUAAGGGCAUAAUUUCUAGAUUAUCCAAUCAAAACCAUACAUCUAGAUAAUACUGGUAAUUUACAUCUUAGACAUUUGAUGAUUACUGUACAUCAGCAGGUAUCGAUGUUGAGCAUCCAAUUCCACAUGUACAUAUACAAAAAUAGAUUGGCAAAAUCAUUUUUAAGCAAUUGCAGGUAAUUGCAGGAACUUUGCUUAUGCAUACAAAAUUACCAAUAUAUGCAUGGGGUCAUGCUAUUUUACAUGUUGCAGCAUUAGUUCGUGUUAGACCCAUCACUUAUCAUCAAUAUUCUCCAUCACAGCUUGUACUUGAUCGACAACUUGACAUUUCCCAUCUACACAUUUUUGGUUGUGUUGUGUAUGUUCUUAUAUUUAUGUUGGCUUUAAAUCACCUUUAAUUAUCAGAUAUCUUGAACCCUUGAUGGGUGAUCUUUUCACCACACGUUUUGCAGAUUGUCACUUUGAUGAGACAAUUUUUCUAUCAUUGAGAAAUGGAAAGCCUCUUGAAGUAAGGCAUGAAUUCUCUUGGAAAGUUCCCACUUUGUCUCACCUAGAUCCUCGCACCAAUCAAUGUGAAAAUGCAGUGCGAAGGAUAGUACAUUUACAGCAAAUUACAAAUCAAUUAUCAGAUGCCUUUACAGAUAUAGUGAAGGCAACCAAGUCACACAUUCCAACUGCUAAUACGUCAGCCCGGGUGGUUGUUCCUGUUGAAUAAUCAAGUGUAAAAGUGGUAACUUAUUUAUUAGGCUACAAAAACGUGGUAGACCACUUGGUUCCAAAGACAGUGCUCCCUAAAAGAAGAGAAUAAAAAAUCAGGAUCCUGUUGAAAAUAAAGCUCGAGCUAUAGACAUACCCACAUUAUCUAACUCACUAGAAGAACUGAUGGUUCCUUAAGAGGCACAUGUUCCUAAAGAGACAGUAACCCAUGAAGAGGUAGGAGAAUAUAAAAAUGAGGAAAAAUCCGUAAAUUUUACUUAUACAAAGGAAAUAUGGGAUCAUAAUAAAAUAAACAUCGACAAUGUGCUUUCAUUCACAGUAGCUAUUGAAAUUACAAAGGAUUUCGAGCAUAAAAUUGAUGAUGAAUGUAGGCAAAGGCAUGAUUGGCCUCAAUGGAAAGAUGCGAUUCAAGCAGAAUUAAGUUCUCUGGCUAAACAUAAAGUCUUUGGACUUGUAGUUCAGACACCUAAAGAUGUCAAACCCGUUGGAUACAAAUGGGUAUUUGUAAGGAAACGUAAUGAGCAUAAUGAAAUUACCAGAUAUAAAGCGCGACUAGUCACACAAGGUUUCUCCUAGAGACCUGGUAUUGAUUAUGAGGAUACAUAUUCUCAGAUGCUAUUAUGUUUCAAUUUCUAAUCAGCUUAGUAGUCUCUGAAAGACUUGACAUGCGUCUCAUGGAUGUAGUGACCGUAUAGAUGUAUGGGUCACUCGACAUUAUUUUUUUAUGAAAAUCCUUAAAGGAUUCAAAAUGCAUGAAGCGUUUAAAUAAAAAAGAUCGUAAUCUAUGUUCAGGGAAAUUAGCAUGGUCAUUAUACAGAUUAAAACAAUCUAGAUGCAUGUGGUACAAUCAUUUGAGUGAAUAUUCGAUUAAAGAAGGAUACAAAAAUGAUUCAAUUUACCCAUGCGUAUUCAUUAGAAAAUCAGAAUCUGGAUUUGCAAUUGUAGCAGUCUAUGUUGAUUACAUGAAUUUAAAUAGAACUCUUGAAGAGCUCCUAAAAACUACUGAAUAUUUAAAGAGAGAAUUUGAAAUGAAAUAUUUAGGGAAAAUAAAAUAUUGUCUCGACCUAUAGAUCGAGCAUAAAACAAACGGAGUGCUUAGUCAUCAAUCACCUGAUAUUGAGAAAAUAUUAAAACGAUUCAAUAUGGAUAAUGUUCAUCCAAUAAGCACUCCUAUGGUUGUUCGAUCUCUCGUUCCUAAAAAGGAUCCAUUCCGGCCCAAAGAGGAUGACAAAAAGAUACUUGGUCCAGAAGUGCCAUAUUUAAAUGCAAUCGGCACUUUAUUAUAUCUAGCUCAAUGCACCAAACUAGACAUUGCAUUCUUUGUGAACUUAUUGGAGAGAUUUAGCUUAGCAUCCACACAUUGACAUUGAAAUGACAUCAAACAUAUGUUUCGAUACCUUCGUGGAACGUCAAACUUGGGUUCUUUCAAACGAGCCAACAGAGAAUCCUAGUCUUAUCGAUUAUGCAGACACAGGUUACCUAUUUGAUCCCCACAAAGUCCGCUCACAAAUAGGAUAUGUUUUCACUUACAAUGGAACAACAAUUUCGUGGCGAUCUACAAAGCAAACUUUCGUUGCCACCUCUUCUAAUCACUCAGAGAUCUGUACACUGUAUGAAGCAAGUAGAGAGUGUAUUUGGAUGCGGUCUAUUAUCCAUCAUAUUCAAAGCACGUGCAAUUUGGCCUUCGCAACAGAUGUUCCAACAAUUAUACACAAAGACAAGGCUACCUAUAUUGCUCAAAUCAGAGAAGGAUACAUAAAGGGAGACAGAACUAAGCAUAUCUCACCAAAGUUUUUCUACACUAAUGAGCUGUAGCAGGACAAGAAAAUUGAUGUAAAGUAAAGACACUCCAUUAAUAAUCUUGAUGAUCUUUUCACUAAAGUUUUUCCCACGAGAAGUUAGUUCACAAUAUUGGCAUGCGUCGACUCAAUAGAUUAUCAAACUGAUACUUGACAGUUGAGGAGAUAUUUCAUCUGGGGGAGCAUAUUUUGAAGAUAGGAGUUCUUGCAUCUAUAUAGACAAAUGUGUAUUAUACUCUUUUUCCUUCGACCAGGUUUUAUCCCACUAAAUUUUACUGGUGAGGUUUUAACGAGGCUGUAUUAAACAAACCUAAUUAAGUACAUAAAUGGUAAAGUUCAAGGGGGAGUGUUAUAACUAAUAGGUGAACUUUCACGGUUUUGUAAGUGAAAAAUGUCCCACAUCGGCAAGUGAUGAUUACAAACAUAAUGAUGAACUUCCACCAUUUAUCCCACAUUGGUAAAUCAUCAUUUACCCCUCAGCUUUCCAAUUCUAUAUAUAUGUAACGUAUUCAUUCGUCUUGGUGAUAAUAAAAUUCAAAAGCUUAUCACUAAUAAGCUUAGUAAUAAGGUACUUUUUAAGUACUUUGUUUAAUUCAAAAUUUUCUGUUAUUUAUUUAUUUUAUAACAUAAAUGUUUUAGUUCAACUUUUUAACCUUUUUUUUCGUUGCUUGCCUUGUUAGGGACUCCUUUUUCUGAAGCUUGUCAUUGUUUUUUUGGUCGUUGAGCAUAAAUAAACAGAUAUACGCUUAUUAUUGAAAAAAAAAAUCAACCCUAUUUUUGAAGCAGUGAUGUCGAGUAAAAUAAAAUAUUUAACUUGUUUCGGUAUUUUGGAGAUGACGCACUCGUGGAGCCUUGGAGUCGGAGAGGUGCGAAGGAUUUUGGGAUUAACAAAAGAACGGAAUGGAGGAUUUAUAUAGAGGAAAGAGUUGGGUAUGGACUGUGGAAUGGAAAUAAAAUUCUGUGAAAGUCUGUUAAACGUAAAAUGGAAUGAAUUUAAUGAUUGAUAAAUAGAUAAAUACACAUCAAAUCUCUUUAAUUUUUCAAUCAACCUUUUUCUUUUUUUAUUAUUACAGUAGACUAUUAAAUAUACGUAGCACACUUCUAUUUAUUGAUCCCCUGCUAAAAAACAAUUAAAUACCGAAUUAAUUUGUUAAUCCCAUAACAAUAAUCUUGUUAAUAAUGAAUUGUUUUACUUAUUUAUAACCGUAAACAAAGAAAUUACAUCUCCAGUGAUUGUCCAUGCAAUCUUUGGCUCUGUUUGGUGAUUUCUUUCCAUUCUCGACCGGCUACUGCUUCCAAGUAUAUAUAGGAAUUUGUGUAGCUAGCUAUAUAAAUAAUUGUCUACCAAUAUUCAAUUGAACUCAUUAAUUAUCUUUAAUUUUUUUUUGGGCGAUGCAUCUUUGAAACGCGAUUCACGUGUAAACAUUAUUGCAAUGGGAGUUAAACGUGAUUCACGUGUGAACUCAUGAUUAAUUAUCACAUUCAUGUGUUUACGUAAUCGAAGUAAGAGAGGUUACGGAGGCUUUCGAAAGAUCGUUACACAUUAACUGACUUGUUAUUUUUCUUUUCCCCUUUCUUCCUUUAAUAAUAUUUUAUUGUAUUAUUAAAAAAAAAAUAUCAUUUCAUAUUUCAUAGUUAAAACGUCAAAUUUCUAUGUUUACAUAUAUGAUGCUGAAAAUUAUAUCUCAUUAAUGUCUUUUUAACUUUUGUUUUUCACUACAAGAAAUUAGGAUAUAUGUGACCGCAAAAGCGGCUUUUUACACAGUGGUUCGUGACCGUAUACGGCUUUUGUGGCCUCUUAUAUGACGGUCAGACAGCCGUCACAUAUAUACUAACUAUGUGUCAAUUAGUAAAGUUACUAAAUCAUUUCAUACAAUAAUAAUGAAAAUAUUCUUGAAAAUUGUUAAUAAUAAAAUUGUUAAUUUGUUUUUAAUUAGAAAAAUAUUAACAAUAAUUCAAAAAAGAAAAAAAUAACUAUUUCCAUUUGAAAACCAAAAUCCUAAUCCUAACACUAACAUGUCGCCGGUAAAUGGAAAAUGCCGACGAUCUUCUUCUUCAUCUUAUUCUGCGAUCUUCUAUUUUGGUGGCUGUUACUAGGUUUUGCAACUGCAAUUUCCCUGUCAAAAGAGACGGUUACACAACAUUUAAUUUGGAACGCGGCGCGUAUAAAAGCAUCUCCAAAAUGCUCUUCAAAUAAGAUUUUAUUACUUAUUUAAAGAGUCACAUCAGCAUUUAAGACCCCAAAAUAUACUCUAAUUAAGAUUUUUCAAAUGAAAAAUAAUUCUCUCUUUAAACUUGUAGUGUUGUUUUCUUUCUCUUCAAUUUAUAUUUUAUUACCUUUUAUUGGAGAGAGAGAAUUUAUUUUUCUUUUGAAAAAAUAUUUAUUUGAUUAAAAUAAUAUUAAUUUAUUUCUAUUUGAAGAGUCUUUUAAAAAAUAAUAUAUUUUUUCACUCUCCUCUUUGUCACAUAAUUAACCAAAUAAAAUAAUUGAAAAGUAAAGUUAAUAGACUUUUUUUUGGAGAUACUCUACCUCCUCUUUACAGUUACAAAGCCAUCACAAAAGGUCAUAUGUAACUGCAAAAUAACGGUCAUAUAAAUCACUUUUUCUUGUAGUGAAUUUAUUUUUUGCGACUUUGAUAAUAUUCCUCGAUGUAUUGGUUUUAGCAGAGAGGAAGUUUUCUUGCCAUUAUCACGAUGAUAAGCACUAUUUAUAAAACAUAAACAUUGUUAAUGAGUUAUUAAGGUCUCAGUUCUCUGUAAGUUGCAAAAAUUAGCUAACUAAUAAACAUGUAGAGUCUGUUUAAUAAAAAUAUUGAAGAAGAACUGGAGCAUAAAUAGCUAAACUAAUAUGAACAAAGUCGAGCAAAGUCAUACAAUUUUAUGUCAGCUGAAAACAAAUCUACACUCAUAUAAUAUUAUAAUUGACAGACAACAACAAUACUCAUAUUUUUAUUCAAUUAAACAUAAGACAAAAGAGAACACAACAUGUACCUAACCAAUAUGGUUAGGGUUCCUCCUGUAUUAAGGAACCAGUUCAGAGGCGGAUGUAGUGUAGGACUAGUGGGGGCUCAAGCUCCCACUGAAAAAACUGAAAAAAAAAACUCCUUUUUGUUUAAAAGAAAAAUUAAUAAAUUUUUAAAUAAUCCCUGUCAGAUUAUCAAAUAGCCCCGUUCUUUCAGUUUCUACAACCACAUAAGAGAGAAUAUUUUUAACAAUGAAAUUUGUGAAGAAUAAAUUUCGCAAUCGGAUGGGAGAUGAAUGGAUAAAUAAUAAUUUGAUUGUUUAUGUAAUAAAGGAUGUAUUUAAUAGUGUUGAUAAUGAAUCUAUUGCACAAUGUUUUCAGAAUAUGAAAUCACGUAGAGAACAAUUGUAAAUGUGUUAUAAAAAAUUGUAUAUAUUCAAGUUUCAGUUUUUAUAUUUUGUUGUUAUUUAAUUUAACCCCUAGUAAAUUAUUUUUCUAGAUCCGGGAACUACAAGAAGAUUAAAAUUGUCAUUUUUUAAGUCUUUGUCAACAGCAAUGCUUAUUCACAUGUACAUAAAUUAAAACAUGAAUUAUAAGUAAUAUUCAAAUGAACUUGGCUUAAAAAACAACCUGCGCAACGAGUUUCCAUAUAUUCUUCAAAUCAGAAAGGGAAAGUUCUCUGCUAGCUUUUGGUGAACUGUAAUCAAAAGAAAGUUGUAGACUUGAACGAGUUUCCAUUUCUGCUGGUUUGAUAUGAUAUGAUACAUACACACAUACAUACAUAUAUGUAUGUAUCCAAAAUCUUGAAUUUUAUAAAAAUCUAAGAAAAUUAUUAAAUUAUGAAGUUUAAUGGCAUAAUUGCACAAUACUAUUAAACUACACAAUUUAAUAACUUUUUCAGAUUUUAAUAAAGUCAAGGAUCCUAAUCAAGUAGUCAACAGUACCAUGGUAUUCAUUAAUUACGGAUCAACGGCUGAAGUUUUGUUAUAAUCCAUAAAUUGUCAAGAUUAAGGGCCAUGGUCAAAAGAUUGUGAUAACUGCGAAAUAUGCAACGUCUAGUCCACAAUAAUAUCAGUAACUGUAAAAAGGAAGACAAAGAAAAUGAUUAAAUACCAUUAUCAACUAUCGAACAAAAGCGAAGCAAAAUGCAUGGCAUAGACAACGAAUCAACAGUUGACGGUUUUUUGCAAAAUAAUUAAGUUUAACGGCUGUGAACACAACUCAAAAUAUCAUUUAAAAUGAUAUGACUAGGGGUGUUCGCGGAUGAAAUUUUGCAUAUUGGAUAUAAAUUCAUAUCUAAUUCACGAAUUUGCGAAUUAUAAAUUUUCAAUUCAAUCCAAUUCACGAAUUGGUGAAAUUUAAUUUAAAUCCAAUCAAUAAGUUUGUGGAUCAGACAUAAAUUUGACCUAAUCCAUAUCCAAUCACCAUUUUAUUAAUUGAUUUGUGAAUUAACAGUUUUUAAUUUUGUCCAAUCCAUCAAUUCAUUAAAUAAGAAAAUCUAAUAUAAAAAUAAUUUUAUUACUAAUUAAAUUCAAAAUUGAAUAAUAUUUAAAUAAAUUAAUUGUUUAAAUAAAACCAGAAUAAUACAUUUAAAGUUUCAAAAUAUAACACAGCAAAGGGAAAAGAUCACAUUUGUUUAGAUUAAAAUAUAAAAAUUAACUAAAAUUAUUAAAACUAACUAUUUAAGAAGCUAUAUUUGUUUAUUUAAAUAUUUGAUUAUUUAAUUUUUUUAUUAUAAUUGGAUAAGAUAUAAUAUGGUAUUAAUGUAAUUAUAUUUUAAUUAAUUUAUUCAUUAGUAAGUAGUAAUGCCACAUUUACAAGUUUUAUUUUUUAAUUUAAUAUUUUUGUUUGUGGAUUUACAUAAGUAAAUCCAUAUCUAAUCCACUAUCUGUUAAUUUUUAAAUUAUCAAUUGAAUCCAAUCCAUCAAUCCAUAAAUGAGAUUUUUAAUGGAUUAGAUAGAUUAAAUUAAAUUCAAAACACCCAUAGAUAUGACAUGAAUCAAUUAAAUAGUGAGAUAAUGUUAUUAAAAUUAUAAACAAUCGUCAAGUAUUUAAUAAAUAUACGACACAUUAUUUGCCACGAAAGAAACAAAAUCGAAAUAAAAUUUUUAGAUAUUUAUCUGCUUUUUAAAUGAUUGCAACAAGUGUGAAACACAUGGUUUGAUGGUCCACAAAAUAUAUAAUUGUCAAAAAGAAGACGGACAAAGUAAUUGAUGAUAAACCAUCUUGUACUUUAUUGCAGUACAGCAUGAUUCACACUUAUCCAUCUUGUACUUUAUUGCUGCACAACAUGAUUCACACUUUUUGCAAUCAGUAUUUAAAGAAAAGAGUUUUUAGAGUGCACCAGUGUUACUGCACUUAAUUAAAAGAUAUAAAAAUCACUACAUAAUUGAUGGUUGUAUACAAUUAGGGAGUCCCUAUAUUACAUUAAAUAUAACAUACACUCCACAACAACCACAUAAAUGAUGGACUCACACAAUUUAUGUAGUUGUUAUGGAGUGUGUAUGUUACAUUUCAUGUAACAUAACAUUUGGCAUACAAUUAAACUAGGCAUGUUAUAUAUACACAUAUAUUUUGAAUAAAGUAUUUUUAAUGUACUUUAAAAAUUCUCCUAUAAACAUGAUUAUUAUAUGGUAAAAAUUCCCACCCUAUAAAAGAUCUCAUCAUAGCCAAAAAAUAAUUAUAUAUUUAAAAGAAAGGGUAGAUGUAUUUUGAAAGAACGAAUUAGAUAUGGAAAUAAAUAGUGUGUGUUUAUAAAGUCAAUAAAUGUCAAAUGGAAUGAAUUUAGCGAUUAAUAAUUAGGUAGGUAAACAUGAGAUCACUUUUUUCGAUCAACAUUUUUUAUUAUUAAAAUAGGCUAUUGAAUAUUCGUAGCGGACUUAAUUCUAUUUUCUUCCUCAGCUAAAAUAUUGUUAUCACCAAAUUAAUUCGUUAAUCUCAAUCUUGUUAAUAUAUAAUUGUUUUAAUUAUUUAUUUAUAACUCUCUGGGCAGGUAUGCAUAGUCGUGUAUGUUAUUUUGCACGUUAGGCCACGUGUCAUCUGAUUAUCAGCUGGCAUCUAAAAGUCUGACUAAUGAUCAAGUGACACAUGGCCAGACACGCACAAGUACAUAUGCGAUGGCAAACACCAAAUCAGAUUUCGUUAUUUAUAAAUGCAAAUUAAGAAAAUUAGAAGAUCGCCCCUGAUUGUCCAUGCAAUUUUUGUUGGCUCUAUUUCGUGAUUUCUUCCCAUUCAUGUAAUUCCAUAAUUAAUCCCAUAAUAAGUAAUAUAGAUCAAGAAGCAAAACAGCAAAUAAUUAAUUCCAUAAUCCCUAGAUUUAUGGCAUAAUCGUAUAUAUUUAAUUUUCUAGUUUAGCUUUCUGUAACGCACACCUCUACUGCAUAAUUCAUGAGUCUAGAGAAAACCUUUCGUUUUCUAACAAUGAGUAUCUGCAAAUGAAAAAAAAAAAUUGUGCAUUCACAUUUUAGUAACUGCUCGUGCCUGUAUUAGGCGUGACUUGCUUUCCUUUCCACCCCGAAAAUCUUAAUUUGGGGUAUUAAUUGAUGUCGUAGCCUGAAAUAUUACUGAUGUCUUCACUAAUUUUAUUAGAUAGUAGAGAGAAAGUAUUCCUUGAUGAAAUUGUAUUUAGCAGAGAGGAAGUUGUCAUUAGGGACAUGCUUCUUAAAAAUGGGAGAAAAAGUUGUAAUGCCUUUUUUUUUUUUUACGAUGAUACGUGCUAUUUAAACAAAUAAAACAUUCUUCAUUAGUUAUAAAGAUCUUGUCCGCUGCGACCUACAACAUUAGUUGAUUACUAAUAAAUAUCCAGAGUUUGUUUCACAAAAAUAUUCAAGAAAAGAGAAAGCAUAAUUAAAAAGAUAUGGCACAAACAAAAUAUUACAUACUAUGCACAAUAAUUUUAUUUAUUAAGAAAGACAAAUUGCAUGAAUACAAACAAAGAAAAUCUCUUGCAUAUCUCAAGAGAUCUUACUAAUUAAACUAAAACAAACUGGCAUUCACGCGAAACCAUCGACUGGUAAUGACAACGAACGGUGCCCACCAUUUAUUCAAUUAUUACAUAUAACACAUCCAAAAGAGUAACUCUGUUUAUAUUUAACCAGCGUGAUUAGGGUUCCCUCUAUAUUGAGAAAUCAGAAGAAAAUCAAGAUUGUGAUCCACAACCUCAUCAUCAGCAACACUUCCAAGAUAUGGGUCACCCCAACUUUCAGUCCAAUCGUUAUUACCUGAAAAGUUCAUAUUAUAAAAUACACGUAUUAAAAUAAAAAUUAUAAAUGAUGUUCAAUUAAAAAUGCAUGGCCUAUAUAUAAACCUGCGCAAGGAGUUUCCAUGAUCUUCAAGUCAGAAAGAGAAAAGAUCUUUGCUAGCUUCGGGUGAACCGUAUUCAAAACUCAAAAGGUAAGUAGUUGAGUUUGAGCGAUUUCUAAUUUCUGGUUUGAUCUUAUAGAUAGAUCAAGUAGCCGACACUGCACUGCCAACGUAGCAUAUAUAUAUAUAUAAUCCAUGGAAGACUCUAGAUAAUGGAUCAACGGCUCAGGUUUCAUCCUACAAUAAGUAGGUAAGAUUAACGGCUAGAGUUAUUGCAUGUGCGCAACAUGGUCCACAAAACAAAUAAUUGGAAUAAAAAAGACGGACAAAGUUAUAAAUACCAUUGAACUCAUUAAUUAAAUACCAUUAUCAACUACCAAAAAGAAGGGAAGCAAUAGUGCAUGUAUAGACAACGGACCAACGGUUGAAGUUUUUUCGCAAAAUAAUUGAGUAAGAUUAACGGCUAUUAUCACAGUAUAAAAUUUCAUCUCAAAUGAUAUGACAUUAAUCAAUUGAAUAAUAAAAAAAUGUAACUAAAAUUAUAAACAAGUAUUAAGUAAUUGGUAAAUAUAUGACACAUUAUUUCCCAUACCAUUCGAGAUGCAAUUUAAAAUAAAGUUUUUAGAUAUUUAUAUGUUGUUUAAAUGAUUGCGACAAGUGUGAAACACAUGAUCUGAUGUUCCCAAAAUUAUAUUUGUCAAAAAGAAGACAAACAAAGCAAUUGAUGAUAAACGAUCAUUACUUUACUGCAACAAAACAUGAUUCCCAAAAUUAUUUUGAAAAACAUGAUUAAUUAAUUAAUAAUCACUUAAUUAAUGUAUGUAUGUUAUAAACAUAUUAUUUUAAAAAAUAACUAUAUAAUUGAUAGUUAUAUUUAAUUGAACUACUCAUCUUAUAGAUACAUUAAUUGAAUAUAGUAUCUAAGGUUAUAUAUAUAUAUAUAUAUAUAUAUAUAUAUAUAUAUAUAUAUAAAUUAUGUUCUUGAUUUUUGUCCUAAUAUCAAUAGGAUCGCCAAACCAUUGCAUGAUAGGUUAAAGAAAACUCCUGUUGCAUGGUCGGAAGAACAUACAAAAAUUGUUAAACAUAUAAAGACUAUAGUUAAAAACAUUCCAUGUUUAUUUCUUGCAAAUCCUGCAUUGCCUAAAAUUGUUGAGACUGAUGCAUCAGACCUAGGUUAUGGUGGGAUAUUAAAACAAGUUAAUAAUAAUAAAGAACAAAUAGUACAAUAUGUUUCUGCACACUGGAAUGAAUGCUAGAAAAAUUAUUCUACUAUUAAAAAAGAAAUUUUAUCCAUUGUUUUAUGCAUUUCCAAAUUUCAAAGCGAUUUAUUAAAUCAAAAAUUUCUGCUUAGAAUUGACUGCAAAGCUGCAAAACACGUUUUGGAAAAAGAUGUUCAAAACAUUGCAUCUAAACAGAUUUUUGCACGAUGGCAAGCCAUUUUAAGUGUUUUUGAUUUUGAUAUUGAAUUUAUUAAGGGAGAUACAAAUUCUCUCCCUGAUUUUCUAACCAGGGAAUUUCUUCAAAACAGAUAAUGCCGCCCAAAAGAUGAGACAAAGGGAAAGAGAUCCUCACAGAACCCUUACCCAAAUCAACCCCUAAAGCCUCCCAAUCCUCUCCACCUAAAGAAAAAUUGCUUUCUUCAGCAAUGCCUAUAAAGUCUUGGAUUGACGCUAUUGAAGACCAAGAAGCCUAAUCCAAAGCCCUUGCCUCCUGGGAGCAGGUAAAUGAAUGGAUGAAAUCCAUUUCUAAAUCCCCUGAGUUUCUGCUCGCCUUACAAAGUUUUUCUCAAAUCCAGAUUUCUCCUAAAGAAGAAAAACCUAUUUCUAAAGAAAUUUAUAAACCUCCUUCACAAAAUGUAAUUCUUUCUAGUGAAAGUUCAUCUUCUCAGAUUGUUCUUUCCCAAACAAAACUUUCAAAGAAAACAUCGGAUUAGUAUGAUAAAACUCAUUUCCAAAAUAUUUUAUCCAUAGAAGAUGGUUUUUACCACACUGAUCCUUUUCAAGCAAUUUCAAAUUUUUUUCCCAAAGGCUGGUUUUUCAAACCUUGGGAUUUGACAAAACCUCAGUCUUAUUACCAAAGCAUUUUGGAGUCUUCUGAGUCUGUAAAAUUCAAAUACUUCUUCCUCAGUGAAACCCAUACAAAACCAGCUUACUCCACAGCCACCAUUCUAAAAGUUUUGAGCCCAAAAUAGUGGGGAGACCAACUUCACAUACUAAAGCCUUUCCCCGCCAAUUUUCAAAUGCGUUUACCACACUACCUAUCCUAUUCCUACUGGGAUUAUCAACAGGCUUGGUUUAAUACAUUUUUUAUACAAAACCCAAAAAAGACCCAUUCUUGGUUAUUUUUAUUCAACUCAAAAAUAACCGUCUAAAGUCUUCCAAACUGGUUCCAACAGUGGUGGAAUUAUUUUGGGCCAUGCCCUGAAAUCCUCACCCAAAAUGUCAUCCAGUGCCUAAAUCUUUUUAAAACCCACUAUGUACCUACAGAGUCUGAGAAACGAUUUCCUCAUUUUCUCUGCUUCUGUACAAAUUUCUUUCUCCCUUGGGUUUGGAUGUGGAACUUUCGAUACCAUCCACAAGAUGCCCAAUUAAUUCUACAAAGAACCUUCAAAGUCAAAUGGUGGUCAAAAUUUUAUGAACAGUCCAAAUUGACUGUUAACAUGAUCGAAAAUUGGCUCUCCUCUAAAAGCCUUCUACAACCAACCAUCAAAGACAUUAAAGCCCAAGGAACCUUCCUUACCCAAAAAUCCAAGGCCCAAUAUCUUUUGGCCGAUGCCAAAACAGAAGAAGAAUAUUUUAAAGUCAUGGAACAGCUUCUCGCUUCGAGAUCUGAGCCAUCAGUUGCAAGUUCCGGUUCAAGCUCUUCUGGAGAAGCCGAGCCAUUCAUUUCCCUUGGAGAUGAUAAUGAAGAUGAUUGCUUCGGCAUCUUCCCUCCUGUAAAGCAUUGUUAAGUUACUUCGGCAUCUUCCCUCCUAUAAAGCAUUGUUAAAAAAAAAAUAAAAAGAGUACUAAUUUUCUAUUUUUCUCUGUAUUUAUCAUUUGUAUUCAAUUUUAUAAUUCCUGUAAAAUUCUACUGUAAAAAUUACCUUAUUACUUGUAAUACUUUGGGUGGUCCCCUGGACACAAGUGAGAGCGCACAUGUCUCUUCACCCGAUUUUUCCCCUUUUAUAAUUCCAUGUAAUUUUGUUUUGCAAAGCCACUGUUUCAAGCUACAGUUGUGAAGCUACAGACUCGCUACAGUAUCGAAAGCUACAGUUUCGCUACAAUUAAAGACCCAGUCUUUGUAUUUAAAUCGGGAGGAAGACUUAGACUCCUCAGAUUUUGGGGGGCAUUCUGAGAAUUUUCAAGAUGGGACUUACUAAAGACAGAUUGUGUUAUAAAUCUUAUCUUUAGAAACUGCAUCUGUUAUAAAUCUUAUCUUUAUAAACCUUUUCCACGAUCUCGGAUCUGUGUUGUUGGUAUCAGAACACAGGGAAAGUAGGUGUAAUAUUUGGUAAAGCAUCUGUGUUGUUUAUUUCUUUUAUUAAAAAUCAGUGUGUUUGCUGAAUUCUUUACUGGUAGUAAGUCCCAUCUUAAGAUAAGGUUUUCCGCUUAGGGCAGUAAUACCAUACCUGUAGGCAUUCAUAUAGGUUUUAAUUUAAGUUUUAAAUUGCAUGGAUUCUCUACUGCAUAGAACAUCAUCUUUCUCUAGCUCUUCUUCCGAGAAGACUAGUGUUUCAAAGAACGUGGUGAAUUCAGAAUAAUUCAUUAUUGAAUAUUUUAAUAAAGCAAUUGACAAUUGGGAUUUGCCAAAAGUUUCUAAAGAUAAGAUUUAUAAAAUGAAAAAACUUGAUUUUCUAAAGACAGAUUGUGUUAUAAAGACAGAAGAAAGAGAUAUCACACUUUCAAAACCUUUUGAAACAAUUCACUUGUUCUCUGAACAUUCUUUAAAGAAAUUAAAAAAAAAGAAUUUCAAUUAUAUUCAUAUCGGUUUAAUUCAAGUCGGCAUAAAACCCUUAACUAAGGAAGGACUAAAUACUUCCAUUCUUGCUGUCCUCAGAGAUGGGAGGUUCAUCUCCUUUGAUGAUUCCUUACUCAGUAGUAUUGAAUCUAGUCUCUGUAAAGGACCCAUUUCUUUUUAUUGUUAUCCUAACAUAACGGUUUCUUUAAAAGAUAAGAAUAUUUUGAAAAGCAUGAUUUUACAGAUCAAAACGCAUAAUUAUCACAUGUUAGAAGGAUAUGUUCCAGUUGCAUUAAUUUUCAAAAUAUCAUAUAAAGCCAUGAUUUCAACGUUCAAUACGCAACAUAAAUUCCAGUAAAAAAGAGAUGAAACUCUUCUCUUGCAGACUGAUAUGUCUAAAGCCAACACCGUCAUUCCAAAACCAAUCCAAUGGAAAGAUAUCAAUCUUCCAGAUGAAUGGAUUCUUGAAGGAGCCACUCAACCAGUGAUUCCAAAACAACUUGAGCCAAAUACAGAAUUACAAAAUGUGACUCAGUAUUCAGAUGGUAAAGUCAAACUGUCUUUUAGGAGAUCUAUAUCCUCUAGAUUCUCCGAUAAAGAUUCAAUUCCUCAUUUACAAAAGAAAUUUUAAAAAAUACCCUCUGUUAUAAAUCUUCCUUUCCAACCUGUAAAUAGUCAACUUAGGUUUUCCACCUCGGAUAUACCUAGUUCCUCCAUACAUUCAGUUGACUAUGCAACUAGUGUUCCCCAUCCUAUCUACACUAGUCGCCAAAGCCAGGAAGAGAAGGAACCUUCUCCUCCAACUUCUCCUACAUUUUCUGCUGUUACUGAAAAUGUAAUAAAUGUUCUUGAAAAAGACUUUGAAUUAGAUAAAACUCUUCUUCAUAAUGAAUUUUAUUCUAAUUCCAAUGAAGAAAAAAAACUUUGGUUUUUCAAACAUUUCUUAAACCAAAGAAAAGAAAUUCAACAAGUUUAUUAUGAAUUUGUAAAUUUGCAUAAAGUUCAUAUAUUGUUUUUUGAUUGGUUGAGAUGUAUGCUCAGAUAACAAUAUAACUNNNNNNNNNNNNNNNNNNNNNNNNNNNNNNNNNNNNNNNNNNNNNNNNNNNNNNNNNNNNNNNNNNNNNNNNNNNNNNNNNNNNNNNNNNNNNNNNNNNNUUUCUGGUAGCGGAAAAAUCAUAGAAUCUGAGUAUCCACCUCUUAGGAGUCUGACCAUUGAACAUGGUGAACCUCCUGUUGAGAUUAAAGCCUCGCCCUAUAAGAUCCAUAAAGACCCAGAUACGGAUUUAGAUAGCAUCAUUCAACAGAAUAAUUUCUGUAAUGCUAAUCUAAAUACAAUAGGAAAACAGUUGACCCGUAUAGAAAGUCAAUUCCAGAAGUCAACCGUUAUUGUCCCUACUUCUACUCAAACAAAGUCUGAUUCCUUGAAAAAGCUUAAAGAACCUAUUUUCAAACCUUUUCAGGUUUCAAAACAUAGCCAAAAGCUUGUUCAAGAAUCUAAAUCAGAUUUUGCUAAAGCCAUUAAAGAACAACUUCAUAAAAUAGAAGCAUCUCCUUCUUUCGCUUCUACUUCUAAAGUCCAAAUUGCUCCUGAUAGUGCUCAAUCUAGUAAGAUUGGUGUACUAGAACAGGAUCAAUCUUCUAUAGCCUCUUCUGACAUAGAAGCUUUCAAAGAUGAGUCUAUUCCCAAAGCCAAUAAAAUCCAUUGGGAACUUGCUCUCCCAACUGUAAGAACUCCUCCAGACCUUGCCAUCGAUAAUAGACCAAGUGGUAUGUCUGAAUACAAUAUCCUAGGGUUGUUGCAACAGAUGACCAUGGCAGCCAAUGCCUAUAAAACUUAGUCGGGAACUUCUGACAAAGCCAUUGCAGAAAUUCUCAUCGCUGGUUUUACCAGUCAACUAAAAGGAUGGUGGGAUCAUCGUCUCACUAAACAGCAACAACUAGACAUCCUAAAUUCUGUCCAAGUAGACAAAAAUGGAGCCCCCAUUCUCGAUGAAUUCAAUAGUCCAAUUCAGGAUGCAGUUGCUACCCUGAUUCUGACUAUUUCUCUCCAUUUCAUAGGUGACCCUUCUCACCUUAGAGAUAAGAAUGCUGAGUUACUACACAAUCUGAGAUGUAGGAAACUUAGUGAAUUCUAAAGUUACAAAACCACUUUCUUUACCAGACUCUUCCUUUGGGAUGAUGCAAAUCAUACAACCUGGAAGGAAAAAUUUCUUGCAGGCUUACCUACCCUAUUGGGAGAAAAGGUUAGAAAUUUCAUUAAAGCCCUUUAUGAAAAUCGCAUUCCCUAUGAUGAGCUUACCUAUGGUGAACUUGUCAGUUUUGUCAAUAAGGAAGGAUUAAAGAUUUGUCAAGACUUGAAACUUCAGAAACGUCUAAAAUGGGAGCUUAGGAAAUCUAAGCAAGAACUAGGCAGUUUCUGUAAGCAAUUCAAUUAUGACCCCUUUAAAACCUCCACUUCUAAAUAUUGUAAUGGUAAGUGUUCUUCGAAACCUUACAAGAAACAUUACAAAUCAAGAAGUUAUAAAAAACCCUUCCAAGAAUUUAGAGAUCAACUUUCUUAUAAGAAACCCUCGAGGCCUUAUAAGAAGCCCAACUUCUCUAAAAGGAAAGAUUUCAGAGUCUUUUUAAAAGCCUUAGAUUAUGAAAUAUGGGAAAUAGUUUGUGAUGGUUCAUUCAUUCCUAGGAAGAAUGCUUUAAAUGAGUCGGAUAGGAAAAAUAUGUCUUUAAAUUCCAAGGCAAUGAAUGCUUUAUUUUGUGCCUUAGAUAAAAAAGAAUUUCAUAAAGUUUCAAAUUGUUCGAAUGCUUAUGAAAUUUGGAGAAAACUUGAAGUUUUGUAUGAGGAGACUACAAACGAGGAGGAAUCUUAUGAAAUGUCAAAUUUGGCACUUAUGACAAUUGGAGAUGAAUCGGAUGAUGAACAUGAUGAGGUAAGUGAUCUUCCUACAUAUGAUGAAUUACAUGAUGCUUUCAAAGAAUUGCAUGAUGAGUUGAUGAAAAUUGGUAAAAAGAAUGUAUGUCUUAAAAAGAAAAUGGUGGAGCUCAAAAAUGAAAAUGAAUAUCUAAGUGCAAAGAUUACAUGCCUAGAAUUAGAGAAUAAAACAUUGCAUGAUAAAGUUGUAUUAUCAAAUAAGAAACUUGGCACUUCACACGAGCAUCUAAAAUCACAUGUAGAUGACUUGAAAAAUGAAAAGGAUACUUUACGAAAAUACAAUGAUUCAUUAAAUGAAAAGGUUAAAGGACUAGAAUUAGAGAAUAAAACUUUGCAUAAUAGAGUUGCAUUAUCAAAUGAAAAACCAAGCAUUUCACAUGAGCAUCUAGAGCCACAUGUAAAUGAUUUGAAAAAAGAAAAUAAAAUGCUCAAGAAAACGAACAUUGAACUUAGUGAUGUUAUGUUAAAAUUCACAAAUGGGAAAAAGAUAUUGGAUAACUUGCUUAAUUCACAAAAAAUGUGUGAUUGACAAAGAAUGUAUUAGCUAUAAGCCAAAUUUAAAACAAAAAUAUUAUAAGAAUUAUUUUGUGAAGAGUAGCUUCAUUAACAAUCAAGUUGUAUGCCACCAUUUCCAUCAAGAUGGUCACAUGAAGAAUAGAUGUCCAAUUAAAAGAAAUGCAUAUUGUGGAGUAAAAUGUGUUUGGGUUCCAAAAGGAACCAUUACUAACACUCAGGGACCCAAGAGUAUUUGGGUACCAAAGGGCACAACGUGAAUGUUUUCUUUGUAGGUACCACAAUCAAGGAAUGGUAGACAGUUUCUUAAUAAAAGCUUAUGAGGAUAAUCACUUGAUCAUGAUCUAAGAGAAAAUGAUGAGUAAGAUGAUUUAAUUACUUUGGUGACAAUUUUGCCAUAUUGAUUUUUUUGAAUGGAUCAUGAUGGAUAGAUAAUAGCUUGAAUUUGGGAAAGCAUGCUAGUAUGUUACAUAAUUGAAUUAUUAUUGUGUGUAAUCAUGAUGUAUGGAUAGAUAUAUAUGAUGGUAGCAUGUCAACUUAUCAUGAUGCCUUUGUUUGAUUUUGAUAAUUGUAUGAUCUUUGAUUUCAUCUUUUUAAUUGUCUAUCAUCAUGUUUUAUGUCAUUUAUUCAUUUUCCUUAUUUGUUCAUCACUUAUGUAUAUAUGCAUAUGUCAUAUAUCACCUAUGUGAGCAUUUGUAAUAAUGGAUUUGACCACUUGUUCUUUAGCUCAUAAUGAUGGUUUUUCUUAAUAGUUAUGUUGAUUUUGAUGAUCUAUAUAUUGCCAUAUGUUGAUUUUGAUGAUCUAUAUAUUACCAUUAUGUACUUAUGUUUUACUUAAGUUUUGAUGAUAAAGAAUAUGCUUUGAUGAUUACAUUGUAUUUGAUGAAAUUUGAUCUUAUGCAAUCUAUGAUUGGUGAAUGGAUGCAUUUUUUGUCCUUUAUCGAUGUAUUAUUGAUUAUGCAUUACUUGUUUUAAAUGAUGCCGAAAGGAGGAAAAAUACAUAUACUUCGAGACUUUUAAGCAUAUAAGAUAUUUUAAGUUAUAUUGAAAUGGCACAUUGGAUCUUGAUGAGUUUAGUUGUCUUGAUUUCUAAAACGUGAUUAGUAAGUAUGGAGCUUGGAUAGUUGAUAAUAUGUUCUUAUAACCUUUGCAUGCCAGUUUGGUAAAAAAAUCAAAACCUCUUUGCUAAUAACAAUUUUCAAAAAUUCGGCAUAAACUUGGGAUGAUGAAAUUUACUAAUAUCUCUAAUCAUGUUAUUAAUACUAUUAAAAUUGAUUUCUUAAUGAUUUUGAUGAUUGAUGAUUAUAUGUGUGUUCCUUGAUAAAUUGAUGGAGUUGUUGGUUUGUUAUAUUUUUUUAAACUUAUAUGGAAGUGUUUUUAACCAUGUUGCAUAUUUGAGGAUUUGUUCAUUUUUAAGGGGAGACUCUGCCGAAAUUUUUGCUCGCACAAAAUGGGUAAUAUCUUCAUCGAAUUAUUUUUUAUGAUCUUGUUUCGAUUGCAUCUAUCUAUCUUUUCUUUUCUUUUUAUGAUGAAGGGAGAGAUAAAUAUGAUAUUUUUUGGAUAAAAUUAUUUUGGUUAAAAUUUUAAAUUAGCCAUAUAUUUAGGGGGAGCAUACAAUAUGAUUUUGGAUAAUAUGUAUUUUGAACUUUUUUGUUGUUCAAAGGGGGAGACAAAGUAAUAUAUCAUUUCGAUGUUGUCAAAAGGAGAAGAAUAAUAUGCACUUUGAAUAUUGUUUUGAUGAUUGAUAUAUGAAUAUGGUGAUGAUUUUGAUGAUUUUGGGAUGUGAUGAUGAUUUGAUUACACGGUUGUUUUAUAUGAUAGUUUUAUGUUAUGAGUUGUUGAUUUGGUAAUUGAUGGAAUAAUGGUUCAUGAUCUUUUUAUGGUUGAUGGAUUGUGCGAUGAUUUGUAUAUGGAGUUGACUUGUAUCAUGAUUUAUAAUAAUUUGGGAGUAAUAUUACUAAACUUGUAUUUGAGGUGAUGCUUGUUGUUAGGGGGAGAUUCUAUCCAAAUUUCUACUCAGACAACAUGGAUAACAAAUUUGCUACUCUUUUUCUUUUCUACUAAGUUUUCUUUUUUCUGAUGAAGGAAGAGAAGAAUACAUGUAUUUAAAUUUGUUAAUUUAGCUAAUUGGUAAAUUGUAAAAGAAGCUUACAUUUAGGGGGAGCAAUUUGUAGAAUCAUUCUUUAAAUACAUGAAAUGUUUGUCAUCAUAAAAAAAAGGGGAAGAUUGUUAACAUAUAUGUUUCCAUAAUGUUGAUUUUGAUGAUAACAAACAAGAUUAAGAAUGAUUAAGUUUUUAAAAGUUCAAAUUAUUUUUUAUAUAUUUUUAAUAAAUCAUUAUUUUCACAUUAUAAAAGUUUUUUAUUUAAUAGAAAAAUGAUUUUAUGAAAUUGGUUGUUUUUCAAGUUUAUGGUUUAAUUGAAAGAGCUUUAAAAACUUUAAAAUCAACAAGUAUUGCUUGGAAUUUUGGAGAAGGAACUUAUUUGAAAAGUUUCCUAGGGUUUUAGGUCAUAUCAUAAUUUCAUAAAGUUUUGGGAAUAACAAGUAUUAUUUAGAAAUUUUGAAAUUGGAUAUUUUUGUAAAGUUUUAUGACUUUUUGAGCCAUAGUAUAAUUUUAUAAAGAUUGGGGCAAACUGUAAUUUUGGAAAAAAAAUCAUUGUAGCAAAGCGGCUAACCGGAUUCAUGAAAGUGGCAUACCGGAUGUGCAAAAAUUUAAAAUUUUGAACAUAAAGGUAACAUGAAGCGGCUAAGCGAAUUCACAAAAGCAGCAAGCCGGUUAUCACCAAAAAGUCAAUAAUGGCUAGUUUUCUUCCUCAACUAUAAAUUGGCUCAAAUCAAACUCAUUCAAGAUGAUGCAACCAUUGAUAUUUUGAGCAUUUUCUCUGCAAAUCUAAAAGAAUAAACGUUGUGUAUUUAUUUCAUUUAUUCACACAUAUUGGGCUUUCAUUUGUAUUCAAACACAUUUUGUGAGAGAAAUUUUUAUAAUCCUUUUUGUAAAAUCAAAUUGAGAGGUUGUAAGUGUUGGGAUACACUUGGGUUAAGAGAUUGUGGAUAAUCUCUUGUUGUAAAGGUCCAUUGACACCUUGGAAGUCAAUUGUAAGCGUUUAAAACCUUGGAAGGCUUGGAUAAUGAAAUCCUCAUGGAUUUCAACUAAAUUUGCUUGCUUCAAUAAUAAAAUUUACAAUUAUAUCGACAUUAUGUGUUAAAAUGCUACAUUUGGCUAUUGACAACAACAACAAAAAUUAAUAAUUACCAAAAAUAAGCAAAAGCAAAAAAUUUAAAAAGAAAUACACAGAAAGGAAUGAAAAUUAUCUUUGAUUGAUCAGGUCGUAGCUAAGGCGGCGAUGGGCAGUUAAGUCCGGUGAAAAAUCUGAUCGUUGACGAGAAGGGGUUAGCGGCUAGCAGCAAAGCUUGCUCUUUGGCAAGAGGCAAUAUCGAAUUUGAUGGUGGUGGAGCUUGAUUGUUGUUUGUUGUUCUUAAUAAUAAUGGAUAAUGAACUGACGAUGAUUUAAAUUGAUGAUGUAUUGAUGAACCAUUGAAUUAAUAUUGAGCGUUGGGGAUGAGGAAGAUGAAGAUUGAGGUGGCGGCUAGGGCUUGUUUUACUCAAUUUUUUUUCCCUAAGGUGGCGGCUGGUGUGUUUGUUUUCUUUUACUUUAGGGUUUCUAGGUUUGUUUUGUUUGCUUUUAAGCUUUGCAACAAAAAUUAAUUAAUAAAUGAAUUAUAAAAACAGUGUAGUCUGGGUCUGGGUUCUGGAAAUUCGGGUUCACCCAAACCCGGAACCAGACCCGGAUAUGUCCGGGUUUUAAAAAAACAAACCGGAUCCGCAUUAUUAAUGCAUCCGGUACGGGUUGAACCCAGAUCGGAUCGUUCAGGUAUUUUCGAGUCCCAACCGGGUCCAAAAAAAUUUGCCAUCCCUAACGGCAGCACCACUGGAAUUGGCAGCGAAAAGCAUAAAGGAAUAAGGGGUUUCUUUUGGAUUUUUUUCAUUAGACACCCUACUGUCUUACUAAUUUAUGUUUGCUACCAAAGUUUGAAAUUGUGUUGCAUUUAAGUCCAAUAGUAUAUGUUGGUGGCGGCUGGAAGAAAAAUAAGUGAUUUAGGGUUUUGGGUUUAUACCCCAUGGCACCCUACAAUUUCAUUAUUUUACGGUUCCGCCUAAGUAUUUUGGGUUUUGGGCAGAAAAAUUCAAAAUUAUUUAUAUUGGAUGCAAGCCCAUUAUUGACUAUCAAUUGGAUAAUAUAAAUAGAAAUUUGAUAACCCCAAUUGUUAUUAUUUGUCCAAAUUUAUUUAUAUUGGUCCCAAGCCCAUUUAAGGAAUUUCAAAAUUGGGUUAUAUAAAUGAAAAUUUGGUAGAUCAAUAAUAAAAUUUAUUUGGCACAAGAAUUUUUGAAGAUAAAUUUGGGCUUAUUAUAUUAAACUAAUUGGGUCUGGAUUAUAUUUAUAAAAAAAGGUAUUUAAAAAUAAGACCCAAUAGAAUUUUUAUUUAAAAGGUGGCCAAAUUUAAAUUUAAAAAUUGAACCAAGGAUAAAAUUUUAAAAGCCUAAAAAUCCCCAAGCCAAUAAUUAUGGAUAAGAACAAUACAAGGAAAAGAAAGAAAGAUGGAUAUUGUCUUGAAGCCCAGUAGAUAUUAGGCUUAUAGAUUAAGUCGAUUUUUUCUUAGGAAAAUCAUGAAUUGAGAUUGUUUAAUUGCUUUUAUCUAUAUGCUAUGUUUGGUUGAUAACAUGCCAUGAUAACAUGUCAUAUAGAAUAGGAAGUGUCACUCAAUGCAUCAUAAUACUAGUAUCAUAAAAUAUAUGGCAUCUAUAAAUUAUGAAUGCAGAUAUAUAUAUAUAUAUAUAUAUAUAUAUAUAUAUAUAUUGUUUGACAUUUGCACGUGCUUAAUAAUAUUAUAUUGCUUCUAAAUAAUAUUAUUUUGAGAAGCAUGCAAUUAACAAUAUAGGAUAUAAUCUGUAUAUGUUUGAAAGGAAAAAAAAACCUUUAAAAUAUUGAGUGGGAGAGGGAAAAUUCAAGAUAAUUUUUUCCACGGGCUUCAUUGUUAGUUCAAUAAUAAAAUUAUAUAUAUAUAUACCUCGACUUCAUGAUAUAGUGUUACUCCCUACGGAGGGUAUAUAUAUUAGACAUUUUAUUUGAUGAACUUCUUUACAGAUAAGAUCGAAAUAUUUUUCAAUCUGUUGAUCACCCUAACGGUGGCUGCAUGAUAUGAAAGAUACGUAUAUUGAAACAAUGGUUAUACACUCAACAAAAAUUUGUUAUUAGCCUUCCUAACGAAGCUCUGUUAACAAAUUUUGGCCCUAAAAGAUAACGAUAAUUAUUUAUCAUGUUUUUGACAUGAAAGUAAAUAAUCUAGUGGUUAAUUGUGUCUAAUAAGUGUAGACAUUUCUUCCCCAACGACUAUCUUGCCAAAUCGGUACUAGAUUAUUGUUACAAAAAAAUAAAAUGCAUUUAUGGUUUUUUGCAUUUUAAAUUAUUUAUUGUGGACAUUAUUUGUUUCGAAGUGUUUAUACAUAUCUAUUUUAUUUUUCAGAAAAUGUCUUUCCUAAGCCCACUCAUCAUUAUUAUGAGUCGAAAUAAACUCACUGGCGAGAACAACAUAGAUUGGAAAUGAAAUCUAUUUACAAUCCUAACUGCUAAAAAUUAUAAAUAUAUCUUAACCCAGCCAUGCCCUUCUAAACCAAUAGAGGAUCCUAGUAGAAAUCAAAGGAGGCUUUAUGAGAAAUGGCAAAAUGCUACAUUUUAUCCUCGAUUUCUAAUAUUCUGCAGACCAAACAUCAGAACAUAGAGACAGCCGCUAAAAUAAUAGAAAGUCUCCAAUAGAUGUUUGGGCAGAGUACUUAUAACUUUAUGAAAUGAGAGUUAUCAUGACACUUUUAGACUUAAAUAAAUAAUACUUAGAGAGUAAAUGAGGUGUUUUCAUUGUAUUUUUGUUAUAUUUUGCAUAAACAUUCAUUUUAAUUUAGUCUUAAUAAAUUUUGCUUGAUUUAGAGUAAUUCGUGCCCAAAUUGUGUGCUUAAUUGUAGGUGUCCAGAAGCUUAUCUUUCACGGAAGGGAUGUUGUUGCAAUAGGCUCGCAAAAAUGAGGAAGAACAUGGCUACAUAAAAAUUGAAACAAAAUCUAGAACAAUGUGGUGUUGUAGCCGUUGCUGGAGCAGCCAUUGCUGUAGCAAUCCUGAAACAACGACAGAGAAAAUUUAGCGCGGGAUAUAUGCAGAAUCGAUAUCUGCAGUUUCCUAAUCUGUCUUAUGCGCGCCCUAGGCUUCUGUUUACCCUAGUUUUCAGAUAUAAAAAGAGCACGCAUCAUAUGAAAAAAGGGCGGCAAAUUAACAUUGGAGAAAUCAAAGGGAAAAGGAGAACAAAAUCAGAAUUCACGGGAAAGCAAGUUUGCACCAGUGAAGAUAAACCCGCAGAGCUAUUGUGGAUUCAAUUUUCAUCGUUCUUUACUUGUUUCUUUACUUACUCUUUGAUUGAACCGAUGUAUUUCAUGGCUAAUAUUUUGCUGUUUAUUUUUCUUUUUCUAGGUAUGAACUAAAUUUGAUUGUAGUUGAGUGACAAACAAUCUAAAUGGGUUUUUACUGUUCUUAUGAGUUGCUGCAAGAUUGUUGUAGUGUUUUACUCUAAUAGCUAUUAUUAUAAUCAUUAUUUCAAUUGACCACCCAUUUAAUGGUUCAAGUUAAGAUAGAGCCGCAAAAGGGCAUGUCUUAGUGGAAAUUAUUAAAGUAAUACUUGAUCUUAAUUUAAGUUUCUUGGACUAAGAUUACUUGAGUCCCAAAAGGGCUAUAUUUGAGUUAAGAUUUGUAAAGAACUAGACAUAGGAAUUCACCUUGUAAGAUAGAGAGAGUGUAUGCUCAUAAUGCCAUACCGUAUGUGGCUUAACAAUUGGUCAUUAUUAGGGUGCUUAAGGGUAUGAGAAAUCUGAUAUGCGACAGCUGAGGAUGCAAAAUAAUUAUGCCCAGUGUCGUACGAAUUGUUGUAGCAACUGGUGUUAAUUUAGACAAAGUCCAUCGAGAGAGUUUGAUCACUUAACUACCUCAUUCCCAUUGAAAUCUUUUUAUGCAAUUCAUUUAAUUUGUUUUAUUACUGCAUUGAUUUAUUUUAUUUUUUCUUUUAUUGUCUAUUUCGGUAGUAAUUUACUUUUAAUUAGAAUCUUUUUGGAACAAAUGAAGUUUGCACUAUCAUGAUUGUUGUAGCAUUUCUAGUAACAUCAAUCCCUGUGGAGACGAUCUUGAAUAUUAAUCACUUUAUUACUUAUUGUGUCCACUUGCACAUUGACGUCAAUAGCAAUUAAGUUAAAAAAUAACCAACAAGUACUCACUCUGCGAGACAAGCGGUGCUGAAAGGUGUUAUGAACUCCAAGAUGGGAAAUGGUAUAAGAGUUCGUGAUCAUGUCUUGAAAAUGAUGGACUAUUUAAAUGAGGCUGAGAUUCAGGGUGCACAGAUCGAUGAUAAUUCAAAGAUUGAGAUGGUGCUAGAAUCUCUGCCUGAAACAUUCAAGCAGUUUAAGGUCAAUUAUAAUAUGAAUAAAAGAAAUAUGACCUUAACAGAAUUGAUGAACGAACUCCAUUCAGGUGAAGAGAUUUAUCUUGCUGAAAAAUCUCAAGGAAGCAUUAACCUUACUAAAAAAAUACUUUUUCNNNNNNNNNNNNNNNNNNNNNNNNNNNNNNNNNNNNNNNNNNNNNNNNNNNNNNNNNNNNNNNNNNNNNNNNNNNNNNNNNNNNNNNNNNNNNNNNNNNNNNNNNNNNNNNNNNNNNNNNNNNNNNNNNNNNNNNNNNNNNNNNNNNNNNNNNNNNNNNNNNNNNNNNNNNNNNNNNNNNNNNNNNNNNNNNNNNNNNNNNNNNNNNNNNNNNNNNNNNNNNNNNNNNNNNNNNNNNNNNNNNNNNNNNNNNNNNNNNNNNNNNNNNNNNNNNNNNNNNNNNNNNNNNNNNNNNNNNNNNNNNNNNNNNNNNNNNNNNNNNNNNNNNNNNNNNNNNNNNNNNNNNNNNNNNNNNNNNNNNNNNNNNNNNNNNNNNNNNNNNNNNNNNNNNNNNNNNNNNNNNNNNNNNNNNNNNNNNNNNNNNNNNNNNNNNNNNNNNNNNNNNNNNNNNNNNNNNNNNNNNNNNNNNNNNNNNNNNNNNNNNNNNNNNNNNNNNNNNNNNNNNNNNNNNNNNNNNNNNNNNNNNNNNNNNNNNNNNNNNNNNNNNNNNNNNNNNNNNNNNNNNNNNNNNNNNNNNNNNNNNNNNNNNNNNNNNNNNNNNNNNNNNNNNNNNNNNNNNNNNNNNNNNNNNUAAGUGAAUGAAGCGUCCAAGUUGCAGUUAGGGACAGGGCCAGUUUGUUUCAAUGGUGAAAACUAUAUCUGUUUUAUUAUGUUUUAAUAGUAAGACUUUAAUUUUAAAUAAUUGUCUUUAUGUUCCAGACAUUAAGAGGAAUUUAAUUUCAGUAGCUUGUUUGUCUAAACAAUGGUACACUAUAAAUUUUAGUUCCUCUCUUUCUAUUUUGAAAAAUAAUAGACUAGUAUGUUCUGGUACAUUGGAAGAUAAUUUAUAUCAUUUAAGUCCUCUGAUCCAUUCUAUGCAUGACACAAUGAUUGAAAAUAAUGAGCAUAUGCACUUAUCUAAGAAAAGAAAAAUUUCUUUUAACCAAUGUUACCUCUUGCAUAUACUCUUAGGUCAUAUAAACCUAAAUAGGAUACAAAGAAUGAUCAAAGAUUGACUUUUAGGUCCAUUGGAAAAUAAAUCAUUGUCAUUCUGUGAAUCUUGUUUAGAAGGAAAAAUGACUAAAAUGCCUUUCUCGCUAAAGGAAUACGUGCAACAGUACCACUUCAAUUAGUAUAUAUAGAUGUAUGUGGACCAAUCAAUGUACAAGUUUGAGGAGUUUAUGCGUAUUUCAUCAUAUUCAGUGAUGACUAUUCAAGAUACGGUUAUGUUUAUCUAAUGCGUCAUAAAUCUGAAGCUCUUGAAAAAUUUAAAGAGUACAGGAUUGAGAUCACCAGCACAUGUGCUAAAACCAAAGGCAGACAAAAUGGAUUCACGUUCUGAGGUUUGUAUGUUUGUUGGGUAUCCCAAAAGAACAAUAGGAGGUUUAUUUUAUAGUCCUCGUGGCAGAAAAGUAAUUGUGAGUACACAUUUCACUUCUUUUGAAGAAAACUAUAUGAAUAACUUCAAACCAAAGAGUAAGGCAAUACUAGAAGAGUUAUUAGGAGAUAAUGUUAAUGCUCAGAUUUCGGUACCUAUUAAUCAACAAGAAGAAGACCAAUAAUAUGAACAUCGCAAUAUUACCCCUGAACAGUAAUCAUCUAUAGAACCUCGUCGUAGUGAGAGGGUAAUUAGAUUACCAGCACGGUACAUGUUACUAGGAGAAACUUAUACAACCAUCUCAGAUGGACAAGUAUAGGAUCCCACUAGCUAUAAUGAAGCUCUAUUAGAUGGAGAUGCUGAAUUAUGGAAAAACACUAAGAACCAAGAAAUGGAAUCUAUGAAUUCCAAUAAAGUCUGGAAACUUAUAGAGGCACCAAAUAGGUUUAAACUCAUAGGGUGUAAGUGGAUCUACAAGAGAAACAUGGGAGUAGAUGGAAGGGUGGAAACAUUUAAAGUAAGAUUAGUAGCCAAAUGGUAUACUCAGAAAGAGGGAAUCGAUUAUGAGGAAACAUUUUCACCGAUUGCUUUGCUUAAAUCCAUUAGGAUUCUACUCUCCAUCAAUGCAGUGUUGGAUUAUGAAAUUUGGCAAAUGGAUGUCAAAACUGCGUUUCUUAAGGGGCAUUUUGAAGAAGACAUCUAUACACAGCAACCAUAUGGGUUCAUUAAAAAAGGCCAAGAACACAUAGUAUGUAAGUUACAAAAAUCUAUUUAUGGAUUAAAGCAAGCAUCUCGAUCAUAAAAUAUCAAAUUUGAUCAAAUAAUUAAAACAUUUGGAUUCAUACAGAAUAUUGAUGAGCCAUGUGUAUAUAAGAAAAUUCAGGGAAAAACUAUAGUUUUUCUUGUUCUUUAUGUAGAUGACAUUCUCUUAAUUGGAAACGAUAUCGAAGUAUUAUCAUUAAUAAAGAAUUUGUUGGCUAAAUAGUUUGAUAUGAAAGACCUAUGAGAGGCAAGCUAUAUUCUUAGGAUUAAAUUGCUUCAAGACCGGAAGAAUAAAACUUUAGCCUUAUCCCAAACUGCUUACAUUGAUAAGAUACUAGCUAGAUUUGGCAUGGAAUUACAUUCUCCAAAGAUCAGUCGCCUAAGACACCUGAGGAAAGAGAAAAAAAAAAUAAAGCGAGUUCCCUAUGCAAAAGUUGUGGGAAGUCUCAUGUAUGUCAUGCUAUGUACUGGACUAGACAUUUGUUUUGUAGUACGGAUGGUCAGUAGAUAUCAAUCUAAUCUUAGUCCUGAACACUGGACUGCAGUCAAGCAUAUGAUUAAGUAUUUGAAAAGAACUAAGAAUUAUAUGCUUGGGUAUUCUGGUGAUGAUCUCAUUCCAGUGGGUUACACUGAUUCUGACUUCAUGUCAGAUAAAGAUUUCAAAAAAUCAACUUCUGAUUAUGUGUUUAUAUUAUGAUAUGGAGCUAUAAGUUGAAGAAGUGUGAAACAAAGUUGUAUCGUAGACUCCACAACAAAAGCUGAAUAUAGGGCUGCAUCUGAAGCUGCUAAAGAAGUUGUUUGGCUCCGUAAGUUCCUACAAGAUCUUGAGGUGCACCUUUUAAACUAUUUUGUGAUAAUAGUAGAGCAGUGGCUCAGUCUAAGGAACCAAAAAACCACAGGAAGCAAAAACAUAUUGAAAGGAAAUACCAUCUCAUAAGAGAAAUAAUGCAGAGAGGUGAUGUAGAGGUUACCCAAAUAGACCUAAAAAAAAAAUGACAGAUAGUAUCAGAGCAGCUCCUCGUGUCCUCUUGAGCGAUAUUGGGGCAAACCUCAGCGAGGACGCUGAGUCCCUCAAGGCGGUGUAUGUAACACCCUAAGCGAAUCCCACAUCGGCAAAUCACGGGAGAGAUGUUGGGUUUAUAAGGGUGAUCCACACCUUAAUUGGCAAGACGCGUACUGGGGUGUAUAGGCGCCCCAGAAACAAAACCAUGCGGGCCUUGUUAAGGCCCAAAGCGGACAAUAUCUUGCCAAGAUUAGGUUGGGUCAUGACACUAACAACAUCUUCGAAGCUCAAAACCACUUAAAGUCUACUCCAGAGAGUAUUAUAUCCUGCACUAACAUAUUUCAAGUGACCCAUUGUUUUCAUAUUCUCCUAGUUCUUUAGUUUGUCUUCCUAGAAAAAUCAUAAUAAUGCCUAUAUAUAUACAUAUUAGUAUAUGAAUGCUCUCUUCUCUAAUCAAGCUAAAAACACUGACAAACAAGUCGUUGCUUCCUUGUUCUAUUGUAAGUUGUAAUUUGUUAUUGUCGUGCCAAACUUGCAUAAAUAUAAUUUUGGAAAAUAUGUUGUUAAGCAAAACUAAUAAAAGGUAGGUUCUUUAUUCCUCUAUUUCUAUCGGCCUAUUAUUAAACAUGAUGUGAAACUAACUCAUUCAUUGGCUGAGUUUUGUCAAUUCAAACUAUCUUUUAAUGUUUUUGCACAGAUGAAAUCCAAUUUAUCAAUAGAAAAGAAACUUAUAAACCAAUUUUAUAAAUGACUUAACUUAAGUAUUUCCAAUCAAACAAGCUUAAUUUUUAUAAGUUAAACCCUAAUUUAGAAAUAAAAAGUAAAUUGAGAAUCAAACCUACAGCUUGAAGAUCCAAGAGCAGUAUUCUUGCGCAGCGUAGUGAUUAAUGGGCUAUGGUGUCUGACAGUGUAGUGUUAGCGAAAUUGUGGUUCGUAUGACAGGAUGGUAAUAGAGUUGGUGUGUCUCACGGCAAAGCCAGCUAGCGUGAUAGUGAUAGAGUAAAGCUAGCUGGCCAAUUUUGUUGGCAAAUAGAGAUGAGCAGUGAUCAAGUGUUUUUCUAUUUUUUUCUUUGUUUUUGUUUUGUUAAAUGGCAAGAAACAUGUAUAAACCCAACCCCCUAUGGGUUUACUUUAUGCAGGUUUUGCCACAUCAUAAUGUUACAAUAUCUAAUAAAGCCCAAACAUGAUAUAGUAAUUUAUUAAUACAAUACAAACUCUUAAUACAGCAUUAUGAGUGCUACCAAACAUGCCUGUAGAACAUUAUAUCCAUCUUUAUCUGUCAAAAACUUAAGAAGAGGAAGUGAAUAUCCACAUUUGUAAAGUUGAUUAUCCAUGAUCACAUACCUUGCAAUUUGGUAUCUCACCUUCUUAUAUUCAUUCUUGUCCUUAGGUAAAGUUCCAUUCAUAAGCUAACUUAUGAUUGGAUCCAUCCAGAAAAUUCAAUGGUCAAUGGUUACUUUUUCAUUUUGUUCGAAUUUGAUUAUGCUUGGCUUUGGGAUGAUGACUACUAGAACUAAUCUUAGAAAGUUUUUCUCAGGCAAGAAAGCCAGUUGAGCCAAAGCAUCAAGUCGUGUGUUUUCCUUCUAAGAAAUUUGUUUUACCUUGUCGUUAAAGUCCCUUAGUAACUCAUUACCUUCAUCAAGAUAUGUAAUCAAGUUGAAAUCCCGAGCUGUAUAGUUGCAAUUCACUUGAUUAACCACUAAUUAUAGUCACUAAAAACAAGCAAAUCAUUUGCACGCAAUGCUCGAACUAACCUAAAGCUGGCAAGAAGAGCCUCAUACUGUACCUCAUUCUUAGUAACAUUGAUGCGAUAUUUAAAAGCACAUCUAAUCUCAAUGUUGUUUAGGGUGAUCGCUAUAAAUCCCUCACCACAUCAUCAUUUCCUAGAGGAUCUAUUACCGUAAAGAGGCCAUUUAUCAUGAUGUUCUUUUUCAAUAUCAAGUGAUAUUAUCACUUCUUUAAUAAAUUCAGCAAUAAAGUUUGUCACUACUUGUCUUUUUAAUGAUGUCCUACGAUAAUACAAGAUAUCAAACUCUCCAAGCUCAAUAAGCCACUUCAUCAUCAGGCUUAGCCAAGACUUGUUGAAUUAGUUGAUUAGUAAGAACAAUUAUGAUAUGAACAUACAAGUAAGGUCUUAGCUUUCUUGCUAAAACAAUCAAGGUUAGGACAAUCUUAUUAAGACUUAUGUAGUAUAUAGGCCUUUGCACUCCAUUAUCUUCUCAGAUAAGGAUAAAGUUAGUGGUGUGUUUAGACAUCACAAGAUAGAGAAGAAUGACUCAUCUUGGAUUAGCUUAACAAGCAAAAAGGGACUUCUUAAAUAUUCUUUAAGUUUUUUAAAAGCUUUUCCAUAUUCCUUUGUCUACUUCAUCUCGUUUCAUUUGCUAAGAGCCUUGAAGAAAUGAAAGCAGUUAUCUAUGGCUCGAGAGACAAAGCAAUUCAGGGCUGCUACUUGACCCGUCAACCUCUAAAUUUCUGUAACAUUCUUUGGAGACUUCAUGUUAACCAAUGCUUGAAUCUUCUCAAGAUUGAUCCCAAUACCUCUUUGAUUUACCAUAAAGCCAAAGAUUUUCUUAAUGAUAUACAAAUGCAUAUUUAGUUGGACUUAAUCUCAUUUUGUACUUCUUAAGAACAUUAAAGGUAUCCCAUAAAUCUUUUAAAUGAUCUUUAGGUGUAAAACUCUUGGUAAGCAUGUCAUCUACAUAAACUUCCAUAGUAUGCCCAAUUUGUUGAACAAAGGUAGUAUUUACUAAUCUCUGAUAGGUGACCUCUCUGAUAGGUGGCCCCAAUGUUCUUGAGUCCAAACGACAUAACUUUGUAGCAAUAAGGACCUCGAUUAGUGAUGAAGGUGGUCUUCUCUUAGUCAGGGUUCAUGCAUCAUUAUCUGAUUAUAUCGUGAGUAUGCAUCUAUAAAGCUUAGCGAUACAUGCCAAGUUGUUGCAUCUACUAAUUGAUCAAUCCUUGGUAAAGGAAAACAAUCUAUUGGAUAAGCUUUGUUAAGAUCAGUAGAGUUAAUGCACAUCCUCUAUUUUCUAUUAGUUUUCUUCACCACCACAAUAUUGGCUAAACACUUAAGAUAUCUUGCCCCUUGAUAAAACCAAGCUUAAAAAGUUUAUCUAUUUCUUCUUUCACAGCUAAAGAUCUUUCGGCAUUUAGGCUACUUCUUUUCUAUCAAAUCAAUUUUAUCUUUGGGUUAGUACUUAAUCAAUGGACUAUCACCCUAGGAUCAAUACUCAGUAUAUCUUUAUGUAUCUAAGUAAACACAUCGUGAUAUUCUUUGAGAAAUUUAACAAAUUUUUUCUUCAAUUGAUCAGUCAAUUGACAUCUACUACCUUAGUUAGAUCUUCACCAAGCAGAAAGUCAUCUAAGUCAUUAAUUAGACUUGCUCAUUGAUCAUCUUUGACUAUUCUAGGAUAAAGGCAUUUGAUUUGAAGAGUUUCAUUGCCCAUUCUAAAUGAUAUAUCAUAGCACUCCUUUACUUCCUUUUGCUCACCUUUCAGAACUUCAACUUCAACUUUAGUUGGAAACUUCAAUGUAUAAUGGUAAUUCAAAUCUUUCGCUUUUAUUAUACAAAGAUUUAGCGUUCUUAAGAUGGAGUUAUAGGAACUUGUUUGAUCAACUACAAUAAAAUUAACUAUAGCGGUUACAUUGGUCAAACAUUUUCCAAAGAAACUACGAGCUCGAUAACUCCAUUAGGAACUACACUUCCUUUGAUGAAUUCAUCAAGUGUAGCAGUGUAAGGUUUCAAUUGUGAUCUUUCCAACCCUACUCGGACAAAGGUUGACAAGAAUAAAAUCUCAACUGAACUCCCAUUAUUCAUGAGAAUUAGAUGGAGUUUGCUUGCCACAAAGAGGGUGAUAUCUAAUGCAUCACAAUGAGGAUGAUGAACUCCUCUAGCAUAAUUCUCGAAGAAUAUUAUUACUAUGUCAUCAACUAUUGUCACUUCCCAUUCCUGAGUAAAUUAUCCAGUUUCUUAGAUAACUAUUGAGUGCAUUAUUGUUUCCUCUGAAGUAUCUCCUCAAAUGUAGUAUUGCUCUCCAAAGGUUGCUAUUUGCUGAUUCAUCGAAAUAUGAUGACUCUUCCAAAACGAAAAUCAAUCUUAAGAUUAUAUAGGUAGCAAUAUAGAUCGUGCCAUAAUAGACUCGAUCUAGGAUAGUCUCAGUAGAUUUUUAAUAUAAAUAUCAUAAUUCUAAUUGGAAUAUACGUAUAAAAGAAAAAGGAACAUUGCAUAUAUUAUGGUGACUUACUGCAUCUAGAUAACAACUUAUCGUUAAUCAAAAGUUUCAACUUCAUUUAUCAAGUACUGCAGAGGUUGCUGCACCAUGCGUAUGGUUGCUUACCAUAUGAUGAGUGAACUUCUGUAUCGUUUGCAUUGUAUUUGUGUCUCCACUAUUUGUGAUUCAAAAUUUUCUUUUGAUGGGAGCACACUUGUGAUUAGCAAUUAAAUAAAUAAAAGAUUAUUAAAUAAAUUCCCACUAGAAAAUGAGACACCGUAGAUGGCUGUAUAUAUUUUUUUACUAAUUAUGUGAUCGUAAAAAAAAACAAAAAUUGAUGCCCAUCAUUCAAAAAUAAAUAAACUAUAAGUGAUUAAGACUAAUUUUUUUUAUCAUUUGCUAAUAAUGUCAGUGUUAAUCUAAGUUUUGUACUGAUCUUUUAAAAAAAUGUGACAGUAGUUAUUGGAGAAUUAAAUUUUAACCGUACAUUAAUAUUGUAAAAUACAGACAUCACAUAAGAUUGAUUAUUAAAACAUAAACACAACAAAUUGAGUAUCGAAUCAAAAUUUAAAUGUAAAACUUGCUUCGAAAUGAUCAAACGAGGUACAAUUCUUAGAAUUAAUGGGCAUUCACAGGCUACUUAUAGAACUCCAUAAC
This 73771-nucleotide long non-coding RNA is filed under the name Citrus x clementina. RNAcentral describes it as "Citrus clementina (C. clementina) long non-coding RNA (CCLE_LNC004177)". The record is from RNAcentral. Lineage: Eukaryota; Viridiplantae; Streptophyta; Magnoliopsida; Sapindales; Rutaceae.